This 66490-nucleotide long non-coding RNA is filed under the name Capsella rubella. RNAcentral's name for it is "long non-coding RNA (CRUB_LNC002834)". Lineage: Eukaryota; Viridiplantae; Streptophyta; Magnoliopsida; Brassicales; Brassicaceae. The record is from RNAcentral.
UAGAGAGAAAUAUUAAAUCGCAAGUUAAAAGACAAAGGAAGAUAAAGCUUAACGUUAAUUGAAAAUCCAUUAAUCCAGCAGCAAAAACUUGUAACUUCAUACAACAAAAGUAGUAGUAUCAAAUUACGGAAAAACAAAACUGAAGCAAACGAAACACAAAUGGAGAGGGGGGAGAGCGAAAGACUUGUGGAGUAGAGUGGUCUAUUUAGAUCGCUGUCUCAUCUUUCGUCUCUUCCUCUUUAACCUCCUCAUACGCUUCUUCUUCCACUGAACCAACAAAAAAAUAAAACCAGAUCCACAAUUAAUAAUUCUUCAUUUAGAACGGAAAUGACUAAACUUGGCUCCAAAUGGGGCAGAUGAAUCAGACAAUGAACACAGGAAGACUAGAAGAUCACAAAAUACCUUAGCUCUCAUCACUCCUUUUUGCUCAAAACCCUAAUCCUGGUGAGAGUGACAAAAGACGAUGAAAGAUCGGAUAUAUAUUCUACAAACCCUAGACAUUGAAACGAGACCAAUAUACAAGUAGGCUUUUCCUAUUGGGCUUUUAAGGCCCAUAUUAUAUUCUCCCGAAAUAAGUUUAACCCAGUUACCUCAACCUCAAGUCCACCGUAUCUUAAGUAAACUCUCAUUCUUCAUUUCUAAAGUUCCGGCUUAAACCCCGACGAUGUCUCUUCUCCGGCGAUUCGUUAAAAAGGCAAACGAUUACAGAUUCCUCCUUCAAUCGAACUCUGGACGUUCAUUCUCUACCGUAAAUCCCAAUCCAUUUGCUUCACCUGGUCGUCGCACUACCGCCGAAUUCGAUAACCUCAUCUACGAAGCCGGGAACUCCGGCGACUUCGAAGCGGUACGCCGUCUGCUCAACACCCGCGUCGUAAACGCUUGUUUCAACACAAGCGCAACAUUCAAAUUCCUAACAAACACCGACUCUUACGCCCCCUCCUUAGAAGAUCUCCGCCGUAUUUUGCCUCAGACCGACGCCGGCUACACGCGUAAACAUGCUUACGAAACUCUCAUCGCGCGCCUCUGCAAACUGAACCGGAUCGACGAUGCUCUGAUCCUGAUUAACGAUAUGGCGAUCGGAAAAUUCGAACUCUCAACCUCCACAUUUCAUCCGAUAUUAAACACGCUCACGAAGAAGAACAAGAUCGAGAAAGCUUGGCGCGUGGUGGAAUUGAUGAGAUCUCAAGAGCUUUCGAUGGACGUGACGUCAUACAAUUACUUUUUAACUUCGCAUUGUUACGACGGCGACGUGGCGGAGGCGAGCAAGGUGUUGAGGAAGAUGGAGGAAGAAGAGGGAAGGGUUAUGUCACCGGACACGCGUACUUACGACGCGCUUGUGUUAGGCGCGUGUAAAUCGGGGAAGGUGGAAGCGGCAAUGGCGAUACUGAGGAGGAUGGAUGAACAGGGGUUGCCGGUACUGUACGCCACGCAUGCGCACGUUAUUGGAGUGAUGGUGGAGAGUGGCUAUUAUACGCUGAGCGUUGAGUUUGUGAUGGCGUACGCCGGGAAAGAUAAGAGAUUGGAUGAAGAGAACUUGGGGAGUUUGGCUAGCAAGCUUAUCAAGAGGAAGAGGUUUAAUGAAGCUAAGUUGGUUUUGAAGGAGAUGAGUGUUAGAGGAUUGAGGAUGGGUGAUGCUUUACGUGGUUUUUAUGAGACCAAUGUGAUAAAGUCCUGAUUUUGAUUCUAUUAGAAGAUGAUCACCAUUUUUACAGAGAGCAAAACUCGAGUGAUACAGAAAAAAAUUGAACUUCUUACAGAAGGUAAAUGUAAUAAAGAGAGUGUAAGUGUAGCUGUGUAGAAAUGAGCUUUUUGCAAAAUAUCUCAUCCGGAAGCUAAAGGUCCAUGAUUAUACAAAUGAAUCUGUAUGUAUUUGUGGCUUCAAGUUGAAGAGUUCCUGUGCAAGUAUGAAUUUAUGGAUUUUACUGUUCUUAAGCUUUUUACAUGAAGGAGAACUUAUCAGAUAAGAUGGUGAACUGUUUUGUUUAAUUUACAAAGGAGCAACAUUUACAGCAACGUACACGUCUCUAGUUUUAUUUUCAAGGACAAAGAGAGGUUAUUUACUUUUUCUACUUUUUUUGGGGGGGAAUGAGUUAGUUUUGUGCAACCUCUACUUGUUGAAGAUGAAUGUGUGAUCCAUUCAGCUGAUAGUCCCAAUACCAGCUUCCUGUUUCCAAUACCUCUUCUUUCAUUGCUUCUAAGUUGAUGCUUAAACCUAAAUCCAACACCAAAUAAUGCAAUCAAUCCAUACUAGUGUCAAAUUAGUUUGGUUUCUUAUCUGUUCUAGCUUUUUAUAAGAUUCACUGACCUGCAUUUCCUUGCGUAAUCUUCAGUAUGUGACCAUCCGGUACUUCAAAAACAUGGUUUCCCUGCAAAAAGAAUAUAGAUCAAUUGGUUUGAAGCAGACACUCUAAUCCAUGACAAACUUCCGUGCUACUUUACUUUACCUCUACAGUUACAUUGCUAGCUUCGAAUUCUGCAUUUCCGUGCAAUAUGAUUUUACAUGUUUCAAGCCGGUUCACAUCGUUUCUCCAGUAAACAUUUGAUUUACUGUUCCAAUCGAUUCCUCGGUUCACUACCUUGACGUUAUGCAGUUUACACUUGCCACACCUACAAAUCAAGUUUUAUGUGUGAAUUCACAAAUGCAAACAGAUAGACAUGUAUCUCACAGAGAUAAUCUAAUCUAGUACAUGAUUCUUUUCUACCUUAAUCCGUAUUGUAAUAUUUGUUCACCAUGAUCAUUGAUAGUUGUUGAACCCAUGGCAUUUUCAGCAGUGACGAUCAAGCUACCAUCAACCUAUAGGGAGAGAAGGUGACUUAGAAUUUAAGUAACUCAGCGCGAUGGAAGCUAUGCGAAAUCUUGUUGGCAGAAUAAAGAUAUUGAGAACCUGAACAUUGUUCCAUGACAACUCUGCAAUCUCGAGUUGCACUUCUGAGCAACUGGAAAUGGACCCUCCCAUGAACUGUUACGACGAUCAGAUAAGAUUCAUCAUAAUAAACCAUUUGUUAGACUUUCUCAACCAGGAAAAAAAAUCAGACUAUUGACUUACUUUUUGUCUUGAAACCUCCCAAAGAGGACCGAGAGCAGGAUGCAGAAGAAUGAGAUACGGAGGUGGGGAAUCCACAUAGUUAUCAUUAGGUUGAAUCUGGAGAAGUAGAAUGAAUUAGUUAACUCUCAGUUUGAAGUUGUUACUGAUAAGAUUAACACUGGCAUGUAACAUAUCUUCAUGGGUCUGAAAUAUCAGUAGUAAUUAAAACAAGUCAUAUAAAAUAUAUGUAUCUAUGAACUUACCAUGGGAAGUUUAAUAUCACAUUCUGUAAGGAGCUCAUAUGCAUUGCGUAGUAUAUCCAACAAUGCACCAUCUGGAGUCUGUAAAGAAAGAGAUCAGUCUCAAAAUUAGUUAAACUCUGAAUAUAAUUCAAUUGAUACCAAAAGAAUGCAAUGGUAUAAGAAAUAUUACCUGGUGCAAAGCAGCACUUGCGUGUGGUUUCUUCUUCUUAGCUGAAGAGGUGACCUUUCUUCGUUCAUUGUAAACAAUAUACGUAUCCAGUUUAUCUAGUAAGAUAAAAUUAAGAGUUAGUGAUACCUAAAGACAGAUACAUUAAACAUUGCAAGACAGAUACAUCGAAUAAAUUUACCUUCUAGAUUGCCCUGGCAUCUAGAUGGAAACUUAUUUAAGAAAUUGUCUGCUAUGUUUUGCAUUGUGCAUUCCAGUCGACCACCCAAAACGCUGUCCAGUAAGUAAAGUAAUAAAAAAAUUGCUAACAAUUAAAGAAGAAACUCCUAAAAUUUAUCUAAAGUAGACAUUUCAAACUAAGAGAGUGACUGUUGAUUCCAUACAGAAAAAAAAAAAAAACAGGAAUCAGUAUGAAUUCCAUUUUAGCUAUAAGCAGCAGUUACGAUUUGACUGAGGCAUCUAGAUAGAAACAAAGAAUCACAAUAAGAAUUGUGACCUAUAACAAGGGAACAGAAGAUCAAUAUUAGGAAAUACAAACCUGUGAUAGUCUCCAUACUGAUCAAUGUACUCAAUUCGCUUCUUUGUAUUAAGAACCAUAUUUGGCAAACUUUUUGCAUUACGGCUCGACCCAAUUGACUCGGCAGAAUGUAAGUCAACAUAUAGAAUGUUUGUAUUGGCAGGGAAAUCCGCCUGCAAACUUCAGAAGUAAAAAAGAAUAAUGAUUUAAUCUUGCAGUCUGAGCUGAAGAAUUAUAUAAGUAUUGAAGAAUUACACUGAUAAAAAGCACUAGAAUUUUAACCAGAGAACCAAAAAGAAUAACUAACACUAUAGACAAAUAACAAAAGAGGAGAAAAAAAUUCAACACAUUUGUCAGCUAGAAUAGAGAUACUAUGAGUCAGUUCUCGAAUAUAUGCACCUUACGCAAGAACAAACUCAAUGAUAGAAAUAUCAUACCCAUUUGAAGAAGGAGACCUGUUGGAGACUCCAAAUUUAUCAAAUUCGGUGUACUCAAUGCACGAUAUACCAUAUUCCCACUUCCCAUCAAAAUUCUUCUUCUCCAUCAAUACAUUAAUCCCUUCGGUUGCUCCAGCAUUUCUUUUACAGGAUGCAAACCCAAGUUUCUGGCACAUUAAAUAAAUCAUGGUCUGUGGGAAUCAAUCGUUUGGAAGUCCAGAAAAGAUGUUCCUUUUUCUUGAGGUAGAGAGAUGAAUACAUGGUAUAUGAUCUCAACUAGUAUGCAAGUAUACCUUAUUAUACCGUAAGCCAAUCCCAGCAAGGGCCAAGAGGGUAACAUCUGUGGCAGCCACAACAUUGCUGCAAUAUCACAAUUAUAAACACUAAAUCCAGAUAGUUCUGAGUUUAUUUUAAUGAGCAACUUCAAAAGGGUACAAGUAACUAACCUAACUUGCCGAAUGGUUGCUCCCUUUCUUCCAUGAUUAAAAAACCAUUUAAAGACACCUUUGUCAUAAGCCAAUUUCCAAAUUGCACCAUGACCACCAGGUUUACUAACUGGCACAAAGGGCUUUGAUACUAUCCAUUGACCAUCUUCAGCACUGACAGCUGGGACGAGAGGCUAGAGAUCAAAAACCACAUACCAUUGAUUAUGAGUAUUAAUACUCAAUAUGAAGUUGUUAAAUUAAAAGGUAAAAGAAAUCAGAAGAAAAUGUAUGUCUCCGAUACCUGUUCAAAGAGACGGAAACUUGAUUCACCUCUUCCAAACCAUUUGAGCCGUUUACAAAGCGAAGUUACAUGCUCAUGGUUGUUCUUUGCAGCACUUGUCAUAAUGGCAACAGGUGUGACACAUUGCUUUCCAUAAAGCUUGAAGUAAAGGAACUCUCUAGCCUAGCAAUUAACAAAAAAGAUUCAUAACAUGACUAAUGCACAAAACAACAAACAGUUGUUCAUACCUCACAUUUUCCCUUUCGUUCUUUCAAACACAGAGACACAAAGAGUCACUCUAGUAAUUAGUGAAUAUGUACCUGAAGAUCUCUAAUAAGUCCCUCCAACAAAGUUCGUCCACAAUGGGCAAGCAUUGCUGCAGGAAGGCAUUCUCCUGUUUCUGUAUCAACCAACCCUAAUCUGUCUGCUGCACCUCCUAAGGGAUAUAUUUCACCUAAGUCUGGCAAUCCCUAAUAUUAACAACAACUUAUCAUCUAGAAACCAUACACAACAAAUUCCGUAAAAGUUCAAAAGCAAUAACACAUUAGUAACCUCAAUUCCCCAUAGAGCCGCCUGCGAGGCAUACUCCUUCCUCUGAGUGAGGUCAAGGACACUUGGAGUAUGCAUUUCUAAGUACUGGCAACCCAAGGAUUCUUCAACAAGAUGUGACCGGUUAGCAUUACGCCUCUUGGUUGAUUGGUGAAGAAGCUCUAGAACCAUAACCUGAUAUCUGACACACAAUCAUGAAUGUCUCAGCAGUGAAUAUAUCCCAAGGCAUCCUCGUAAGAUUUCAUCUAAUUCCUGUACUAAACCAAGUUAAGAAUUGGUACCCGAUAAUUCCUCCAAUGCAGUCGUAGAACUGUUCAAUUUCAUCCAGAAACCUCAAGAACUUUCUAAAGCGAGCAAUCUCCUCUGCAUCUAAAACUGUACCCAUCUCUCGUCUACCUUUAUAGCCGCUACUAUUAACAUCAAAUCGCUCAAUCAUCUCAACCAACGCGUAAAGUGCGUUCUUCACCGAACUUCUCACUGUAUACUCCUCUUCUUCUUCAAAUGCUUCCCCAUAAUUCAUACAUAGCGCGUGUUCCUGCCCCGCCGCGAUCACACACUUAACGAGAAACAUGUCUUUCGAAUUCAAACCAAGUGAACCUAAAACCUUAGCUAAACCGCCUCGAUUCUCGCUGAAGAAUCGACGAACUCUGGAAUCAGCGUCGAUAACCGCGUCCUUCCGCCGUAAGUCCUUGGAAACGUCUAGUUUCGCUAGGAGAGACUUGAGCCGAUCGAUUUCGGAUAAGAAAUCGUCGGAUUCGGGAGGAGUCGGAGUGGAAUACUCAACAGGCACGGUGGACACGUGUCUCACCUGGUGGUUAUUACAUUGCUGCUCGCUCUGCGGAAACUUCGAGAACAAUGAAGAAGAAGGGAGAAAGAGCAGAGGCUUUCUGAAAUGCAGAGAGGUGAAAGAAGAAGGAGACGUAGAAGUAGCGCGGAAGUGGAAGAGAGAGACGUGAUUCUGGUAAAUAGGAGAAGCUUGAGGAUUAGCCAUGGCGGGUGAGAUGGUUACAGAAGGAGGAGGAGGAGAAGGGAGGGGUUUUGAAGAGAACCCCAAGGAGGGAUAAGGAGAUAUACUCCAAGCAUAUACCCAGAUUGCUUCUUUUACUGUACGAUUGCUUCUUUUAUUUUUUUUUGGGCUUCGUUUGCUUUUCUUUUUUUGUGGAAAAUAAAAAUUAUAUAAUCCAACCAGCUUCGAAGGAUUUGAUUGUGUAGAUGAUGUGUGAUUGUCGUGUGUUUGUAAUCUGUAAUCUGACGGCUUAGACGACACCGUUUUGGAUUACACCGAUGGGCCAUCUUCAUUUGUUCAUGUCGACUGCUCCCAACAUUUUUCAUGUUCUUUUUUUUUUUUUUUUUGUCAUCUAUGUUCUUUUUUUUUUUUUUUUUUUGUCAUCCAUGUUCUUUUUUUUUCUUUCAUUUUUAACAUAUUUUAUGACUCUCAAAGUAGUCAGUAAUUCAGUAUUGUUAUGACGUUUUCGGGUGUGUUAUCGCUUGUCAGUAUAAUUGCUACCAUUUUCAUAAAGAAUUGCCAAAUCAAAGCACAUUUGUCAAUAUUAUGUUCUUACAAGUGUGCAUAUGAAGUUAUGUUUGAUCAUUAGUUACGAUAUCUCUUUCAUGUGGUUUAGUAUUAUUAACUACGAUACCUUUGCAUGUGGUAUAUAGGAGAUGGAGUGUUAAUAUGUGUCAAAUAAUCAGCAAAUAAAUCGAUUAUUCAAUUGUGCAUUGAUUUCGAUUCUGAAUAAUGCAAUCAUGGAGUAUCAAAUUGAGAGAACCAUCUUCAACUAAAUUAUUUGAUCGAGCAAACCUUGUGAAAUAGACUUUGAUCGGUUUGCUCUAAAGAUACUUCAGAAACUGAUGAUUAAACAAUUAAAAGAACAUAGUAACUAAUUACAAACACCAUCAACAUUAUGCACACCAAAAAAGGGGUCUUACCGUGAUCUCGCAUAUGUUCUGUUUACGACAUAUAACAGCAAAUGGAUCCACUGGAUUCUUUAAGCCGUUAUAUAAACUAAGUUCCAUAGAUUUAUAUAUAUAUAUAUAUAUAGAUGAAAGCAGCCUAAAGAGAAGCAAGGAGCUUCAAAAGAGACUCAAAAAAACCUCACACAAUCGUCAUAUUAAUACUUACAGAUUUGUUGUGAAGCAAAGUAGUACUAGUCUCUUCACGCAGUUGACAGCACUUCCAGUUCUGCCCACCAGAGAGCUGAAAGUUUUGGAAUCGCAUCGUCUGGUGAUAAUCCUGUGAUCUCCCGUAAUCUCCCUGUCACUUCCUUCAUUGUCGGUCUCUGUUUCGGGUCUGCCCUUAUGCAGCUUUUGAUCACUUCGCCUAUAUUCUCAAUCUUCUCAUCAAAACUCUCCAAUGUUGGAUCCGCCAUCUCCCUUAAAGUCUUUCCUCUCAAGAAAUCAGCCAAACCAGUAUCUAUUGAGUCGCCUUUCCUAACUGACUCUGGGAGUUUUCCAGUCAUCAAUUCGAACAACAGCAACCCAAAGCUGUGAACAUUGUCUUCUUGUGUCGUUUCUGAAAUGUUUGUAUCUAUGAGUGCAUUGGUGCUGCUCUCUGUCUCUGAUGGGCCUUUUAGGUACCCGAAAUUGAAAUCUGCAAUUUUGACUGCGUAGUCCUCUGUCAGUUGAACUGAUGACGAGAGAAGACUGCUGUGGACUACAGGUGGUUUGAGCCCGUGCAUAUGGUCAAGACAAUAUGCUAUGCCCAUUGCUAUUCUUAGCCGCAUUACCCAGUCCAAGUGCUCUGACUCUUUAUCUGCAACAAAGUCAUAUUGUUUCCCAUUUUUAAACUGACAACUUACAGUGUAACGACUCAUAUGACUAAGGAGCUUUUUCACUUACAGUGUAGAUGUUCAAAAACUGAUCCGUUUGAUGCAUAUUCAAAGACCAAGAUCCUAGUGAAAGGUGCAUCUUCUUCACAGUAACCAAGAAGGUUGACAAAAUUCUUGUGGUUUAUCUUGGAUAACAUUUCGAUCUGAAAUGAUCCAAAACAUAAACGAUAAGGCAAAUAUGAACCAAAAUCCAUUUAAAUAUAAGGGAACUGGCUGACUGGAAAUACCUUCUUUCUGAACUGCAUUUCGAUGUUAUUAGUCCAUUCUUUGGCAGACGCGGUAGCAACAGAAGCCACAGCUAUUUCCACCCCACUAGAUAGUGUCCCUUUGAACAAAGUGCCAAUGGGACAAGACCCAAUGACAUUACUGAAUUCUUCACAGGCAGCUUCAAUCUCAGAUCUUUUGAGUUUGGGGACACCUGAGUAACCAAAUGGCACACAUCAUUAAUAUGGAAACCAAAAGAAAAUGGACAAGCACGUCAAUUAAACCUCAAACUUCCAGAAAUAAAAAUGACACUUAGUAAGACACUAAGACUGUAAGAGCGAGUAGAAAGGCAAUUACCAGUUAUGAACACUUUCUGAAGCUGUCCACUAAGACCUGUACGCCAAGGAUUCACAGAUUUCCCAGCCUUACUCUUGAAAAAGAAGACACCAGUUGCUAAAAGGAGGAUAAACACAGCACCGCCUAAGCAGCCAGCCACUAUAGGAACCGUGUUGUUUGAAGAAUUUUUGGAGCUUCCUCUUAGGAUAGGAAAAUUCAAAUGGGGCACAAGAGGAGGUGGAGCAGAAACAUGUAGUGCAGGAGAACUUUUUGGCGGUGGAGGCAACGUUGAGGCUUUAGUAGCUUUAGUUCUCGGAGAAGAUGACGGAGAUGUAGCUCUUGCCACAGGGCGGUUCUUGUAGCUAUUCAAAUGGGUGUACGGGUUACGAAAACGGCCAAGUAAUUUCCUGUGAAAACCAACUGCUCUCCUACAAAAAGGUCAAAAGGCAAAAUGAUAUUUGAGUACACAGGAGAGCAAACAGAUACAUGUUUCUAAUUCAAAUGGAAUAAACGAGUGUGCCAGAGCACAGUCAAAGUAAAAUCAGCAAGUCUUAGUAUAAAAAUGCGUAAAACACAGUGUCGGUCUUCAUGUAGUACUACUCAAGAAAUAGUAUUAGUUCACUCAAAAGAAAAAAACUAAAAAGUAAGCAUGGUGUUAAAAAAAGUCAUAGAUCUACAAAAACCAGCUACAUUGAUGUUGAUGUUCAACCAAAAUUCAUGUUCAAAUCAUGUUCGCAAAAACUAUUCAUUCUACAUUGAACAAUCAACUUAAUAGUGGCUAAAACACUAGAUCUUACAUAGCAAGCUCAGAAACCUAAUCUGCACAAGUAUAAAAACACCUCAUGUAAAGCGCAAGCAUCAAGUUAUAAAUCUAAAAAUCAUCAACGAAGAGGUCUUAUCCAAAAAUACUUAAAACUUACUAAAUCAAUCCAGCUGCGUUAACAAACUAAAAAAAAAAAAAAAAAAAAAAAUCACAGAACAAAAAAAUCGAAAGCUGCUGAUACUUACAAAUCCUCGGCAUCUCCAUCUGACAACAGAUCUUUCGUCACAAAAUCCAGAUAACCCACACCUGAAAAGCCAAAAUCGAAACAGCAAUCAUCAGCAACUUGCUUCUAUUUACCGGCGGCAAUCAAAAGAAAAAGUGAGAGAGAAUCAAAAACUAGUAAAUAUACCAUGAGAUGUCAACGAAAAGCAAGAACCGAAGCUCAAAAUCACCAGAAGAAACAGGAGAGUACGAUUUGGAAGAGUUAAUCGAACAAAUUUCCAGUUAUCACUCAUUGUGAGAAGACGACAAGUGGAAGCAGGAAGCUAAUCAACGACACCGGAAGCUGGAAAUACCAAAGGCUCGAUUUGAAUCUGAUACGGCUAGAUUGGAAGAUGAAGAACAAAAAGAAAUCAAAAAGUUAAGCUAAAAGAAGAAGAAGAAGGAAGAGAGAGAGAGGUUUAGAGUUUUGAGUUCGCAUGGCGGAGGAGACGAUUAGAAAGAAGAACAUGACUUUUCAACUUUAGAGUUUUUUUUUAAUUUUAAAGCGCGUGUCCCCGUGGUUUGGCCCCGAUAAUAAAUUAAAAAGUAUACAGAGACUCUCAGAGAGAGUAGUAAAUUUAAAUAAAUAAAAGGCAAUAACUUCUUCUUGUUGACAAAAUAAAUAAUUAAACAAUAACGUACAUUUAUUUUCUUUUAUGAGAAUUGAACGUAUAAUAAUAUUCAACUGUAUAAAUAAGGAAGAAGAAGAGAGUAACACAGUUUUAGCAUAACAUGUAGAAAAGAUAGAAGAAAUCUAAAACCAAUGGACGUGAAGAUGCCAGAGUUCAAAAAAGGUAUCCAAAAGAAAGAGGCCAAAGCCACCGGUCACCACCACCGUCGAUAAAGACUUGUUUUGAUGUUAGCAGCCCUUUUCUGUGGAAUAUGGUUUAUAGUAAAAAACAUAAAACAAUGGUGGUGGUGGGAGGAUAUAUACGCCACGUGGAUUUAUUUUGUUGUAAUCAUGUGUUGGAUAGUGGAAUGAUUGAAGUUGAAUGAUUGUGUUUUUUUUUUUCUGUUAUUGUUAUUAUCAAUUUAUCAUUACGGGAUUAAGAAAAUUAUAAUGAUAAUUUUUUUUCUUUUUUUUUUUCUUCUGAUGACUGAUUCAACGUGGAGGUUUUUUUCUUUUUUUUGGUAUUAUGUUGGCUUAGCUGUUGUUAAAAUUCAUUCGUUUUCAAUCCAACUCUUUGCCAUGUGGUCAUGGUCAUGGAUGUAAUGGGUGUGUAUCGCGUACGCCCCAAUUUUAUUUUUGCUGGCGCUAAAUUCGUUUAUAUAUUCUCAGAUUUUUUAGGGUAUGGAGAAGUGUUCCAUAAUUGUUGUUAUUGACACACCGCCCACGUUUUGUGGUGUUUAUCCCAUUCAAAGAGACACAAAGAAGUGUUCCAUAAUCAAUCUAUCUCUAUUCUUCCACGAUCUCUUGUCGAUCAUAUAUAUAUAAAGUACCCAUAUUGCAGCUACUACCUGAUUUUAUUGUUUACGGGCCUAAUGCUAAUGAGCAGAAGAUGAAAUGUUCUUGAUUCAACAUUAACAUAACCAUACAUAUAUGUUCCGAUGAGAUCAAUCCAAACACACAUGUUCCGACAAACACUCAAAAUUCAUUUUGGAAAUUUGGAACUUUUGAGUCUAAUCAUAAUGUCCAAGUCCGACCAUACCUUUUGAUAUGAUCUACAUCCAUUCUUCAGCUUAAUAUAUGCAUUUUCUUUGGUAAUCAAGUUAGACACACAAUUAAUCCAUCAGAAAAUUUUCAAAUCAAUAAAAAAUAGUUAACUCAUGAAUAAAAAGUUCGACAUAAUGUUUUUUGUUGUUGUUGUUGUUAAAUAAGAGCUUCAUUAUUGGUUGAAUGGAUCCGAAGAAAUUAAAUGGUUGACUAGUAUGUAUGUAACGGUCUCGCCGUAAUCUGAAAGCCAUCGAGUUUUUGAUUGGAGGAUGAAGCAAAAAGAGCAAAUCAAAUACUAUUAUAGAAUUUUACAAAAUUCACCGCCAUGUCUACGCGUACGUAAUCUAACUUCAUCUUUACGUAAGUUUAUGCCUUCUCUGUUUUGGUCACCUUUAUACUUAUUAGUAUUAUAGUCGUCACUUUGUUUUUUGGUCUUGCAAGUGCAUAUGCAUGCACUUUCAUGGGAAACUUUGCUUGAAGUAAUUGACAGUCAGAUAGUGCUGCGGCAUAUAUAUAAUAUAGUACUUACAAACUAAAUUUUGAUGGGCGUUAGAGUAUUAAAAAUAUAUAAUGGGAAACCUUAAAGAUCAAUGCAUUGAUUAUAUUUGUCAUUGACUUAUUAAAUGGAACAAACAAACCAUGCAUAUGGCAGCUGUCUGUGUGUGUAAAGAGGUUUCAGAACGAUCGUAUAUAAUACUAUUAUCAUAUAAUAUUAUUGUACAUUAGGACUUUAAUUAGGACCAUAUAUAAUUAAGAAAAAAUAUUACAAAAUAAGAUCUGAAAACUUUGAAUAGUAUGUAUAAAACUAAUUGAAGCUGCAAUCACAUGUUAGCGUACAUAUGCAUGUUAUAUUGUUUAUUUUUGCGUCAGAUUCUAUAUAUAUUUUAAAUUAUAUGUUUAACUCUUAAUUAUUAUACGAUUCUUUCAAAACCUCUCACAUGUUCUAUAGUAAUUUCUAUGAUGAACCAAUUCUAAAAUUCAUAGAUAUCUAAUUAAGAUCAUAUAUAUGAACAAGUGUACAUAUAUAACUGGUCACUAAUGAGAAAGAUCUCUUCUUGCAUAAGUAUAUUUGUAAUUAUCGAGCUCAUCGCUUCAUUUUUUACUUUCUUCCAUGGAUUAUCUUAUUGAGAACUUCUACAAUUCGAUUUUUGUUGUUUCUUCUUCAUUUCCCUGAGAAGCCGCCCUCUCUCGGAGAAUCUUCUGCCCCAUAUACCUAUACACAUGUAUUAGAACUCUCCCAUAAUUAUGUCUAAUAUAAAAACUUUUUAAUUUGGAUAAUUUGUUUCAUUUGGUUUAUGCGUGUAAGUACCUUCCGAGCAUCAUGAUCGUGGCUUGAGGAUUAGUCCCCGGGGUCUUAAGAAAUGUGGAUGCAUCAAUGACCCUCAAACCAUCAAUCCCUAAUACUUUGUAAUCAUUGUCCACCACUUUUCCAACUUGACAACCUCCAUGGUAAUGAUAAAGAGUCAUCACUGUGUCUUUACAAAACUGUUUCAAGUCGAACGUCGAGGUUAUGUGUCUUGGCCUCAAAUUGUUGGGAAGGAGAAGAAUGAGAUCCAACAGUCCACGUCCGGUCACUCCAGGGAAUUUAUACUUGGAGUAUCCCUUCGAAUCUAUCACUUUAAUCAACGCACUAAGUCCUUUAACACAAUUGUUCAAAUCCUCUGGCUCUUGGUAGUAGUUGAAUGUCACUGAAGGAUUAUCAUCUGGAUUCGUGUUCCGCAGCUCCAAGUGACCUCGCGAGAGCGGUCCAUAUACUUUCAUAACCAUCCCACCCGCUUGUGCCGUCACGUUGAAUCGAAAGUCCAAAGAUUUGAAAAAGUUCGAGAGGGUUUUGGUAGGGAGUUUUAUCUGCAUAAACAUCAUACAAAACUAACCUUUAAUUAGUCUUCUGAAUUAAUAAUAGUUUUAUAUAAUGUUGAAUGAGUGAUCUUAAUUGAUGAUUAUAUUUAUACCUCAUUGAGAAGAUUUAGAACACCAUUAAAGAAGCUAUGGGUCAAACUAAUAGAGAGACUUAACCCACUUAAACCUUCAAUAUAACUACCAAAAUGUGGGAUUCCCGCGAUUUGGACAAGGGACACUUCUACAGGUUUAGGUGAAAGGACUAAAACAGGGUUCAUGGGGUUAUCACCCAUUCCUUUUCCCACCAUGGGGUGAUCUAGGAUAAUUGGAUUCACUCCAUGGGCUGCAAGAUGGGAUCUUGGACCUACACCACUCAACAUCAAUAGUUGCGGGCUUGCGAUUGCACCCGCUGAUAAGAUCACCUCGUUCAUUGCGUCCUGAUCCACUAGUUUGGCUGUGUGGAACACUCCGUUUGCAUCUCGGAAUAUGACCCCUUUGGCUUUAGGCUUUGGACUUUCUGUACAAAAACAAAGUUGGUCAUAUAUAUCCGAAUCAUAGGAAAAGAACAAUGUGUGUUCGAAUGACUGAUCAGACGGAUGACAACGACCAAACCGACCGCCAAACUUAUAUGAUACACUAUAUUACUUGGAAACAACAAAACCAAAUUAACGAACUAUUCAUAUCAAGACCUAAAAGUCUGUAUAUAAUAUUAUAAUCUAAAUAUCUAGUUUAUUUUAAUUAAUAAGUUGUUAAAAAAAAAAUUUAUAUACAAUUAUUAGAAUUAUCUAUUUUUAUUAUAAUUUAAUCAAAUAUAGAAAUAGCACAUUCUAUGUUAUAAAUAGCAAAAUAGUUUCGAGAUAUUUUUUGAAUGUAUAAUAUUUUCUGGUAGUAAAUUUGGUUACGUGUAACAUAAGUCUCUCACACACACUCUCAAUUAAUCUCUCUCGCUAUUCCUAAAUCCUAACCCUCACGAGUCAUGCCGUCUCCUUCACCAAUCCUAAACCUCCUAUUUAUGGAAACCCCAAAAAGAAAAAAAGUUUAAAUCUUGCUAAUAUAGUAUCAAUUAUCAAUCAUUUACCUUUGGUAGUGAAGAGGAUCUUAUGAACAGAAGCAUGCAAGUAGACAGCAAUCUUAUUCGGAUUAGCAUACUCCAACAAAUUCGCCGCCGUGUGUCUCCGACCAUUCUCGUCAAUGAUCGUACCGCCAAUUUUCGUACCGUAAAUAUGUUCGUAAGUAAAACCAUUGUACGGAGUGACUCCAGCUUCCAAAAGCCCGUCUCUAAACGCCGAUUGCCAUCCCUUAACCUUGGGCUGGAACACCACUUUCUUCUCGACCCACUCGUAAGCCGCUUCGACCUCGUCACUGUCCCAUCCUGCUUCCGCCACGAAGUCAUCUUCAGCACGCGAGUAGAACCCCGCGUUUAUCACCGUGCCUCCGCCGAGAACGCGAGCGCGUGAGUUGAAUACACCGUCUUGGGAGAUGAAUAGCUGCGUCCAAGAGUUUGGAGUUAUGUUCAAGAGUGUGUUUACGAAGUUGUUGAUGUCUGUGGCCGUUGGGUUGUCGUAAGGGGAACCACCGCGUUCUAGUACUAAAAUGGUAGCGUUUUGAGAAAGCGUUGCGGCUAGUGCACAUCCGGCGGUUCCUCCUCCGAUGACUAUAUAGUCGAAGUGAGACAACUUUGGUGCUAUUGUUGCAUCUUUCAUAAAACUAUAAUAACCAGCUUCACGACAAUAACAAAUUUCAAAUGAAAAAAAGUUAAAAUAAGUAUAUAUACUAAGAAAUAACCUUUAAGUUCAUUAAAUUGAAUGUGUAGUGAAGAAAAUUAGUAAUCGUACCUUUAUCGGAAUAACACGAGUCGUGGAAGAUGAAAACUGCGACGACAACAAAACAAAAUAAUCGGAAUAUAUAAAAUUCCAUGAUUAUUAUAUACUAUAAAUCUGACCUCUUCAAAAAAAAUUGGAUUAUAUAUUUAGGGCAUAGAAGAGUAGAACUCAUCUGGUUUAUAUAAUGUCUAGAAGGAUACGAUACGAUUCUUUUGUAGAGAGCCGUAUAUGAAACAAAAACAUUAUAUGAACCGGUUACGGCAAAGUCUUAUUCUCAUGUAAUUUUCGGCAUAUCCUUUUAAACCAUUUAUUUAUCAACACGUGUGAAAAACGAUCUAGGAUUCGAAAGGCAUCAUCGUAUUUAUCUUGUCUUUUCGUAGAAAAAUAUGAUGUCUUUCAUGAGAUCCCUUUUAUAUAUGUGACAAAUUCUUAUUACAUAAAUUUUUAUAUGCGGUUCCUUUCAAAAGAAAAAGAAAAACAUUACGACUGUGGCGCUGGGUGAGAAUUAGAAAUUCCCACUUCUAAAUACAAAUUUUAGAGAAAUAAAGAAAAUUUUUGCCCAAAAAAAAAAAGAGAAAUAAAGAAAAUUAAUAUUAUCUUUUACAGAGAGAGACAAAUUUCACAUUAGAAAAAAAAAAAGUAAUUUGACAACAAAGAAAUUAUAUAUUGGUGGUGAGCCGAAGAGGAAAGGGCGUUUGGUUCAUUAUAUUAAUAAACUCAUACGUUACCAAACUGAGAGAUUUGAGUAUCCACUUUGUUUACCAAAAAAAUAAAAUUAAUCAGCGACCUCAUUUUGUUUUCUGGUCAUACUAUUACAAAAUGUAAUAUUAGACAUUAAUGUUCAUUCUUUUUCCGAACAAAAUAAUUUAGAAUAAUAAGCCAAAAGUAUCUGUAAUCCUGUUUUUGUUAGGACUAAAGAUAUGGCACACUCAAAAUCCCAUGAAGAGGAUUGUCAUACAUCUUUCAUUGGAGAAAGCAACAAUCCCCAAAUAAGGAGAUUUUUUUUGAGAAUAUAUAUUUCAAAUCUCAAGUAAUUUUUAUUAACUUUUUAUAUAUUUAAUUUAUAUGGAUUCUUUGAUUAUUUUUACAACUCGGUUUUAACUGUUUCUUCUUGUUGUUUUUCUCGGAUAACAGUCCUCUCUCGAAGAAUCUUCUGCCCCAUAUACCUACACAUAUUAUAACUCUUCAACAAUCAUAUUUAGAAAACAUUUAUGUUGGAUCAUAAAACAUCAAUGCGUUUAUUACCUUCCCAUCAUCAUGAUCGUGGCCUGGGGAUUAGUCCCUGGAGACUUGAGAAACGUGGAUCCAUCGAUGACCCUCAAAGCAUCAAUCCCUAAUACUUUGUAAUCCUCGUCGACCACUUUCCCAACUUGACAACCUCCAUGGUAAUGAUAAAUAGUCAUCACAGUAUCUUUACAAUACUGUUUCAAAUCGAACGCCGAGGUUAUGUGUCUUUGCCUCAGAUUGGUUGGAAUGGUAAGGAUGAAAUCCAGUAGUCCCCGUGAACUCACUCCAUCGUACGUGUACUUGGAGUACCCCUUGGAAUCGAUCACUUUCAUAAUGGUACUAAGUCCUUCAACACACUUGUUCAAAUCCUCGGGAUCUUGAUAGUAGUUGAAUGUCACUGAAGGGUUAUCAUCUGGGUCCGUGUUCCGCAACUCCAAGUGACCUCUCGAGUGCGGUCCAUUCGUUUUCUGGAUAAUCACACCCGCUUGUGUCGUCACGUUCAAGCUAAGAUCCAAAGAGUCUAAAAACUUUGAGAUAGAGUGUGUAGGAAGUUUCAUCUGCAUUUAAAACAAAAAAAACAAGUCAUGUGUGUUUUAUGACAAUUUCAUAGCAUUUUAGUGCAUUAAUAAUUGGUAAUACCAUUUUAACAAGUUUCAGAACAGCAUCGAAGAAGCUACCGGUGAGACGAAGAGAGAGACUUAACCCACUUCCACCUUCAAUGUAACUUCCAGACUUGGUGAUCCCAACGGCUUGUACAAGGGACACUUCAACGGGUUCAGGAGAAGGGAUCAAAACGGGGUUCAUCGGGUUAUCAGCCAUCCCUUGUCCCACCAUGGGGUGAUCUACGAUGACCGGAUUCACCCCAUAAGCUGUGAGAUGGGCCUUAGGACCUACACCACUUAGCAUCAAUAGUUGUGGGCUCCCAAUGGCACCAGCUGAUAAGAUCACUUCAUUCGUUGAGUCUUGCGUUGCCAAUUCUGACUUGUGGACCACUCCAUUUGAAUCUUGAAAUAUCACCCCAAAUGCUCUUGGCCUCUGGUUCCCUAUCGAUUACAGUAUUUUCAUAUCCGGAGCAAUAACAAUAAUUGGGGUACGGUACUGUUCAAUGACAUACGACUGAUAACAACCAAACGAUCGCAAUAAUUGACUCAUAAACCAACAGCUGAUGAAUAGUCAGAGUAUUUAAUAUGUUAACAUAAGAAAAAUGACUGUUAUGCUUUGAUAUUUUGUGUUAAAAACAAAAUUUUUAACUAACGAAUAAACAAGAAAUCCAUAAAUACCAAAAAACUGUCGAAAAAUAUAAGUACUGUAUAUCUUAUUAGUCUUAACUAAAACACAAACACUCAAUUUUGAUUACGUGUAAUCUACGUAUCCUUUACUUUUUUUUUCUCCCUGCCCUAAACCCUAACGAGUCACUCCAUCGCUUCUUCAGUCAAAACUCAUAAACCUCUUAUCAUGGAAUAAAUUAAAGACAUAUAAGUAGUUAUACCUUUGGUAGUGAAGAGGAUUUUAUGGACAGAAGCAUGCAAGAAGACAACAAUGUUAUCCGGAUUAGCAUACUCCAACAAAUUCGCCGCCGUGUGUCUAUGACCAUCCGGGUCAAAUAUGGUACCACCAAACUUGGUCCCAAUGAUAUGUCUAAACGUGAAACCAUUGUUAGGACUCACACCAGCCUCCAAAAGCCCAUCUCUAAACGCAGAUUGCCAUCCCUUAGCCGGCGGUUGGAACACCAUCUUCUUCUCGACCCAUUCAUACGCAGCUUCGACUUCGUCUCUGUCCCAUCCUGCUUCCGCCAUGAAAUCUUCUUCCCCACGGGAGUAGAAUCCCGCGUUUAUCACGGUGCCUCCUCCGAGCACGCGCGCACGUGCGUUGUAAACGCCGUCUUCCGAGACGAAGAGCUGCGACCAUGAGUUUGGUGGAAUUAUGUCCAAGAGUGUGUUUACGAAGUUCCCUAUGUCUGUAGCAGCUGGAUUGUCGUAAGGAGACCCACCGCGUUCGAGAACUAAAACGGUAGCGUCUCGAGAGAGCGUUGCGGCUAAUGCACAUCCGGCGGUUCCUCCUCCGAUGAUAAUGUAGUCGAAGUGUGACAACUUUGGUGCUGAUGUUGCAUCUUUCAUAAAUCUAUAGUUUCCAGCUUCACGAUAACCAAAAUUUUCAGAAAGUUUGGAAUUGAUUUUAGUAACAGUAUGCUAAGAUAAACCGGAAAAAAAAAAUCAUAAAUUGAAUGAGUUAGUAAUGGGAAUUAACUAAUUAUUAUACCUUCAUCGGAAUAACACGAUGAGUCGUGGAAGAUGAAAACUGUGACGAUUAUCAAAUGAAAUAGUGGGAAAAUCUUUAUAACCAUUAUAGUGUAAAGGUUUAUAGUGUAAAGGUUAUUUAUUUGUUAUUUUGUUCUUUUAUUUUAUUUUUGAGGCAAAACUCAGUGGAGUUUUUAUAGACAAUUAAAUCACAAGAGAAUGAGCUAUCUCAUACUUUUCAAGACAAAGUCUUAUUCGAUGGUGGCCUAGCUUCAGCAGCCACUAAAUUUGCUGGCACAUUUAGGUCCAUAGACUAUAGUAUUAUUCUACUACUAUAUCUUCCAUGUUAGAUUUUGAUUUUAUAUAACAAUUAAUAUAUAUUGAUAGUGUUAUCCCCACGGUCCUUGUCAUACACAUUUUUCUUGCAUGUACAUAUUUUUUUUUUCCUCAACCAUACAUCAUAAUAAAAAGAUCAUUUAUUUUUCAAUAUAACAACAAACCAAAGAGAUUUGAUAAUCAGAUCCAUGUACAAAUAAUGAUCAGACUGCUUGUUAUCAUUGUCCAUAUUUAAAGAGGACCUAAAUUGUCAAAGUGAAAAUAAAUAAACUAUUUUUUCUUAAUAAUGAAACUUUUAUUCAUGCAAUUAUUCUAGGUCUUGUUCACAAUUACUAUACAUAAGUAACGUUUCAAAAUCAGAAUUGUUGAAAUCAUACUUGUGCAGAAGUAAUCCGUAAUUAACUAUGUCAUGGAAGAAAAUUGAAUAUGAAGGUCAAUAGCAAAAUUGCCUUACACCUCAUUUGGAGACUCAUUGCAAUGUCGAGACAAUGAACUUAUAAGGAUAAAGUAGGCACAUAUUUUCAAUAAUUAUUAUGUAUAUGUAUUCAACAUAUACUUUACAACGUAGAAGACAAUUAAUCUAGUUACAUCAUAAAACGCUCUUACAAGAUUCAUACAUGUAUGUCUUCAGAGCAUUUUCUAUUUGGACGAUGAAGGGGACUGUCUCAUCUGUCAUGACAAGAUUUAAUUUAAAAUCUCAUGUUUCUUCUUCUUUUCCAUGGAAAGCCGUUACGUUCUCUCUCGAAGAAUUUUCUGACCCAUGUACCUACACAUUACAAUUGUCCAACGUAAACUUUAAAACAUGUUAAAUCAUUUGUAUGUGUUUGCAUGCGUUUACCUUCCCAGCAUCAUGAUCGUGGCCUGGGGAUUAGUCCCUGGAGACUUGAGAAACGUGGAUCCAUCGAUGACCCUCAAAGCAUCAAUCCCUAAUACUUUGUAAUCGUUGUCGACCACUUUCCCAACUUGACAACCUCCAUGGUAAUGAUAUAUAGUCAUCACGGUAUCUUUACAAUACUGUUUCAAAUCGAACGCCGAGGUUAUGUGUCUUGGCCUCAGAUUGGUGGGAAGGGCAAGUAUGAGAUUCAAUAAUCCACGCCCACUCGAUCCAGGGUACUUGUACUUGGAGUACCCUUUCGAUUCUAUCACUUUGAUAAUGGUAUUAAAUCCUUCAACACACUUGUUCAGAUCCUCCGGGUCUUGGUAGUAGUUGAAUGUUACUGAAGGGUUGUCAUCUGGAUCUGUAUUUCGCAACUCCAAGUGACCUCUCGAUAGAGGUCCAUUCACUUUUUGGAUUAUCACACCAGCUUUUGUAGUCACCUUCAAACGAAGAUCCAAAGAUUCAAAAAGCUUUGAGAUGGGUUGCAUAGGAAGUUUCGUCUGCAUAAAGAAAAAUAGCAUAUUAUUUAGCCACGUCGAUCUUAUAACAAUUUCUUAGUGUAUUAAUUAUAUUGAUUAUACCUUUUUAACAAGAUUCAAAACAGCAUCUAAGAAGCUACGGGUCAAACUAAUAGAGAGACUUAACCCACUUCCACCUUCAAUAUAACUGCCAAAUUUGGUGAUCCCAACGGCUUGUACAAGAGACACUUCUACGGGUUCAGGGGAAGGGAUGAACACAGGGUGCAUUGGGUUAUCAGCCAUCCCUUGUCCUACCAUGGGGUGAUCUACGAUGACUGGAUUCACCCCAUGUGCUGUGAGAUGGGCUGCAGGGCCGACACCACUCAGCAUCAGUAGCUGCGGGCUGGCGAUCGCCCCAGCUGACAAGAUCACCUCAUUCAUUAUUGAGUCUUGCGUUGCCAAUUCUGCCGUGUGGUACACUCCACCUGCAUCCUGAAAUAUCACCCCAUAUGCUUUGGGCCUCUCAUUACCUGUCCAAUUUAUGUUAAACUUAAAUAUUAUAACUAUUCACAUAACAAUAUAUCAUUACUACGAAUAGUAUAUAAACAAAAAUCAUAAUACUUAAGCAAGUGUUUCAACUUUCAACUAACAAACACAAGUUGUGAUUAAAAUAAUCACAUGUAAGCUACGUACGUCUCUUUUUUAUUGGUUUUUUGUUGUUUGUCAGCUCUCUCGCUUCCUUGUAUUUAAUAAACAUCUGCUUAUGGAAAAAACAAAGACAUGUCUAUGACUUCGUUAUCAAUCAAUAGUCAAUAUACCUUUAAUAGUGAAGAGGAUCUUAUGGACAGAAGCAUGCAAGUAGACAACAAUGUUAUCCGGAUUAGCAUACUCCAACAAAUUCGCCGCCGUGUGUCUAUGACCAUCCGGGUCAAAUAUGAUACCACUAAAUUUGGUGCCAACGAUAUGUUCGUACGUGAAACCAUUAUUAGGAGUCACUCCAGCCUCUAAAAGCCCAUCUCGAAACGCAGAUUGCCAUCCCUUAACCUGCGGCUCGAAAACCACUUUCUUCUCGACCCACUCGUAAGCCGCUUCGACCUCGGCUCUCUCCAAACCUGCUUCCGCCACGAACUCUUCUUCCGCACGCGAGUAGAACCCCGCGUUUAUGACGGUACCUCCACCGAGCACGCGUGCGCGUGAGUUGUAUACGCCGUCUUGGGAGAUGAACAGCUGCGACCAUGAGUUUGGAGUUGUGUCCAAGAGUGUGUUUACGAAGUUCCCGAUGUCUGUCGCGGUUGGGUUGUCGUAAGGGGAACCGCCGCGUUCGAAAACUAAUACUGUAGCGUUUUGAGAGAGCGUUGCGGCUAAUGCACAUCCGGCGGUUCCUCCUCCGAUGACUAUAUAGUCGAAGUGAGACAACUUUGGUGCUAAUGUUGCGUCUUUCAUAAAACUAUACUUUCCAGCUAUUUGCAUAAAAUUUGGAGGUCAAAUUAGUAUACUAGGCUAUAACCGGAAAAUAAUAAGAAUAAGUUGAAUGGUUUGGUAAAAGGAACCUAACAAUUGUACCUUCAUCGGAGUAACACGAGUCGUGGAAGAAGAAAACUGCGACGAGAAUACAACGAAGUAACCGGAAAUUAUGAAAAUCCAUUACAGAGCAAAUAUUAUGUUUGUUGAAGUUGUAUAAGAAAGACUAUAUAUUUGUUUGUUUGGUUAUUUCUCUUUUGGGGUCAAGAAAGAAAAAUGAUUAAGGUUCAUACGGUAUAUAUAAAAGGCAAAGUCUUUUGGAGUAUUUAGAGAACCAUAUCUUUCACGGUUACGGCAAAGUCUUAUUCGAUGGUGGCUGGCUUUGGCUUCUUUAUUUUCUGGCACAUUUAUCAAGUCCAAAGACUUUGAUAUUUUGACAUUAAUCAUUAUAACAUAGUGUAGUAAUUCGUAAAUACGAUAUAUAUAUUUUUUUUAAAGUACGAGAUUUUAAUUCUUAGCACACUGUUCUUAUUAUACUCGUACUUUUUGCAGCCUAUAUAAAAAGUUUGGUUUGUUGUACCUAAAAAAAAAAGUAAACUUGUCAACCAUCAUACAUUGCAAAAAAAAAAAAAUUGGAUACCAAAAAUUUGGAAGAACAAAAGUGUUUAUAAAGAUAACAUCAUCGAGUAUAAUCCAAAAAUACGAACAGAAUCAACAAAUUUUUCGAAGCAAACCGAAUUGACCUAACAUGUUUUGUUGUAAUUAUUCGUUCGUUUUCUUGUUUUUUUUUGUGUGUGUGUAUACUUUCUGCACUUUACCAUAUAUUUUUUAGAAGUGAAGAGGCUGCACAUGACCCGAUCCUUAAUGUAAGCAGACGGACCUAAUUUGUUGACUUGACAAUAAAUAUGUAUCUAUCUAAUUUCUUUUACUAAUAUUGAAGCAUAUUGACUUGUUCUCUCAUGCAAUUAGUGAUUGGCAUCGUUAUCGUGAUGAGCUACACCAAAAAGUUGAAUAUCAUUACACUUACACAUCGAUGGCAAACUGGUAGUUGGAGUUUUAAAGAAGACUGUCCAAAUGUUGGAUUGUUGGGUAUUAAAGCUGAAACUUAACCAUAAAUAGAAAAGAGAACUAAUCAAAGAGAUGUGAGAAUACUUGUUUUCAUUGGUUAAAAACAUAAUGAGCAGUUCUGUAACUUUCAAUGGAAGUCCAAGUGAAUCCUCAAUCCUAAUGAGAGUUUGGCUUAUGCAUAAGUAAUACCAAAACAUGAAACAAUUCAUCAUAAAUUGAAAAACUUGAAAACAAAACCACCAAAUGUCUCCAUAGAGAAAUUUACCACUAUUAUCAUCCAUACUACUUCCACACAUUAAUUUUAUUUUUUUUAAAGCACAGAAGGAAGAAUCACUUCCUAAGGUUCAUAUGACAUUGUCAAAACCUAACAUCACAGAUUCUAUUGACCUUGACGAUAUCUGAUGGUUUCUCAGCUAUACAGCAUGUGAUAGAACCUGUCAAGAUCAACCCAGCGUGUUUACAAACUUAUUAACUUUGAUUCUUGAGCUCACCACAAUCUUCAAUAACAACUGGUUCAGAGGUAUUUCCCCUGUCAGAUCCAACAUCUUCCAUAGCCUUCACCACAUUGUACCCAUCAACAACUUUCCCAAAAACGACGUGUUUCCCAUCGAGCCACGAUGUCUUCUCAGUGCAAAUGAAGAACUGAGACCCAUUAGUGUUGGGGCCAGAAUUAGCCAUAGACAAAAUCCCUGGACCAGUAUGCUUCAGCUUGAAGUUCUCAUCAUCAAAUUUAGAACCAUAAAUCGAUUCUCCUCCAGUUCCAUUCCCACGGGUGAAAUCUCCACCUUGGCACAUGAAUCCUGGGAUAAUACGGUGAAAGGCUGAGCCUUUGUAGUGUAAUGCCUUUCCUGCUUUCCCAAUUCCCUUCUCUCCGGUGCACAGAGCACGGAAAUUAUCCGCUGUUCUCGGUGUUACAUCAGCAAAUAGCUCCAUUACAACACGCCCUGCCUUCAUCUUUCCAAUCAAGAUGUCAAAGAAGACUUUUGGGUUCGCCAUUUCUCUCAGGUUUCACUAAUCCUGUCAAUAACAAAAGUUAUGAUUCAGCAAACUAAAGUAUGAACCAAACCAUGAAUUUGAAUUUAGCAAAUAAUGAAGACCCGUUUCAAUCGUAAGUCGUAGAUAUGACUUCUACAAAACUCUUCUUAAUUCCAACACAGUCAGACACACAACUCAAAAAGCCUCAAACAGUUCAAACAACAACAACUGUCAGAUUCAAAUGCUACUAAUGUCUGAUUUACUCAAUUCAAAAGAAUAGGGACUAAAUUGUUGAUUCAUAUAUUGAACUCUAGCCAAAAUGUAAAUCAUAACAUCAAGGAAGAAAUGUCCCACCCAUCAAAAUUGUCGAUAAGAAAGGUAAGUUCUUAUAACACAGAGAUCUUUUUCAAUCUCAAAAUGGAUGGUUUUAGAAUAUUGCACAAAUAUUGAGCUCGCAGGCGUUUUUAAUUAUACGUUAUCUGCAAGCCUUCGAUAUGUGCUUCUACGCAAUACAAUGCAAAAAAAAUUGAGAAACAAUUGGAUUAAAGUGAAGCAAAACCAUCGAAAUGAAGUACCUUCGCAGAAUGAUACUCCAGACCGUAGAUUUAACUUGGGUGAUGCGAGUGAAGAUUUUAUAUAACGGCUCAGCAGCACAAGGGAUGUGGGGGCUAGGGUUUUACCAGGGCUUUUGGAUUGUUUGAGACAGAGUGAUCUCUGUAUUUUGUCGGUUUUAUCCUCUUACUUUUCAUGUUUUACAUUCUUACCAACCCUAACAGGCUGACCAAUAAGCCCAUUUUAUGAUUUAGGCCCAUUAUCGAAACUACCGUCCAGAGUUAUAUUCAAUCGUUUCGUUAGACCCAACAGCCCAAAUUUCAUAUUGGUUUACUCUUAUAUCAACGUAUCAAAACUAAACAUGAAUCAAACAAAUUGAAGGUAAAAAAAAAAGUACUUAAAACUUGAAUUGAAAGCUUCUAGUUAAAGGACACAUUAUCACAAUAAUUUCGCCUUCAGUGUCAUUCCUAUACUUUCCAAGCCAAAAAAAUUAAGAACAUCCUCACCAAAAAAAUUCAUUGAACAACCCUAAUCGAAAAAGAAAUGAACAAGAUUCCUUAGAGAGGAUUAAAAUGUUGUGUUUACGGACGCCACGAAGACUUCACGCCAACCAGGAAUUUUCCUCUGUACACAUUUGUUGACCAUCGCAGAGAUAAUAGAAUAGGGUUUAGCUUCUUUAGAAUUUCAACGGUGUCUUGUACCACAAGAUACCCUCCUGGUCUUACUAUUCUGUCUAUUUCUACCACCACCUCCAUCAAAUCACACCUGAAAAAUAUCAAAACACAAAAAGAACAUAUACCUUUUGAUGCAAAUCUAAACACACAAAAAAACUACAAAAGCAUUCUCAGUCGAAGAAUCAUAAAUUUUACCUUUGAGAAAGAUUGGUUAGAAGGAAACUAGAGUGCAAGAGAUCAUAUGAUCUUGGAUAUGUAUUGAACGACUCACACCAAUCAUGGUAUAUCCCUAUCAAACCUCUAUCGAAAAUGGUUGGUAACGUGUCUUCACCUUCCACAGGAAUCACAUUCAUUACCCAGAGAGGUUUGUUUAUAAGAGCAGCAGCAAAUCUGAAUUAAAGCAAAUUAUAGAUGAGCCAAGAGUAAGCAAGAGAUGAUUAUUUCUUUUGUGAACUAUAUCGAAAUAUUAAAGAUUCUCUCACCCUCCAUAGCCAGCGUUCAUGUCCAUAACAUUGUGGAUCCUGCUCCAGUUUAUAGCUAAACCGUUUAGGUAGAUAUUUGAUAUAGUUCCAGCCCAGAGUUUAGUGUCUUGUUUGAAACUCUCUUCACCGCUCUGUUCUGUCAAAAGGCUAACCGGUGUCUCAGUUAACCUUCCAGGCCAUACGGAAGGCCAUUUUCUGGUUGGACCGACCGGUAGUUUUGGUAGACAGGUAAGCAGAGGAGUAUACCUGUUAUUCGAAAAAACAUGUAUUGGACCAAAAAACUCUGUUUUUUUCUCUCUUGAGAUGAAACAAAAAGUAGGAUAACAUGUCAUUACCAUGAACUGUUCUUCUUAGUCUCUUCUUUGAAACAAAGAGGCGGAUCUUUCUCCUUACGAGAUUCAUAGCAAGAAUCAGAGUCUGGUUUCUGGUAUAUCACGAAGCCAACUUUUGUGAAUCGAGUUCUAGCCACAACUUUCCAACACAUUGAUGUAGUCAAAGACUCCAUUGCUGCAGAAGAAACACACACAAAAGCACAUCAUUCAUAAACUUUUUCUGUAUUCUUAUUAAAACAUAAUCAGUAUAAGAUUAACAACACUUAAUACUAACUUUUCCAAACAUUACGGUGUUCUUCAUCGUGUUGAUAAACCGGUGUAGCUGACCAAACAAAAAACCCUCCAGGCCUUAGAACCCGGUUAAGUUCCAGAAGUGGUCUACCACCUGCAACAACAUAUUUUCAAAACAGUAUCAACAAAGCAAUGAACUUCUCUGAUUCAAAAAAUUAAGGAUAUAUAUAUAUUGAGUGUAUCAACCGUAUCCGUGCCAAUGGACUCUGCAUCUAGCGCAAUGGAUAACGUCGUAAGCAUUAUCAGGAAAAGGAAGCUUUUGAGUUCCAAUAACAGCGAGAGUAGCUGGAAUCCCUCGUUCUAGUGCGAACUGAAUCUGAGCUUCGUGUUCGUCUUUAGGAGCAAAUGACAUUGUGAUCACGUUUUUAUCAAGCAAAGUCCCACCAAAGCUUGCCACACCACAACCAACAUCAAGAACCACUCUUACUUUCUUCCCCCAAUCAAGAACAUGUAACGUCUGUAAAAAGAAAACCGUAACUUAGUAAACAGAAUCAGUGUCUUGGUUAUGUAUUAUAUGUUUUAAACCUUUUGAAUGAAGUUGAUGUAGUGAAUAACACCGUCUUUGAAUUGAGUUCCUCCUCCAGGGAAGACAAAGAAAGGUCCGGAUUUGCGCACCCAAUUCUGAUCUUUCUUGUAUUCUACAAGCUUCGGGUGAGGAACAUUGUCAUACCAAAUCUGCAGAAACAAGAAUUUAAAAAGCAUGAACAAUCACAAGAACUAACUACUCUAAAUCAACAUAACAAGAACCAAGAAAGCCUUAUCUCUUUUUUGCAAGAACCAAGAUAAACUGUAAUGAAAGAAAAGAUCUUACCGAAAAAAUAGAAACAAGUCUCUCACCAUAUCCCUGCUCUGAGGCCAAGGAAGAGGAACCUUGUAGCGUUGUGGCAAAGGAACCAAACAUUUAGGUGCAGGCUCAGGGCAAUGUCUCUCUCUGUGCUCCAUGUUCCUCUUGGACUUGAGUUUCUUGAUAGCUUUUGUGUUAUCCAAACAAGGUAUGUAAUCUGGACUCUCACAUCUCUUCCAAUCCAGGGGCAAACUCACAUUCCAUUCUUUGUCGUCUUUAAGCCAAUCCGAUUCCAAACCUUGAUCAAUCGGAUGAUCAUCGACUCGGGUCUGAGCAACCGGUGGUUCCGGAGGAGAUGAUGAGUCGUUGGUGGGACUCGAGAUUGGUGUGGAGAUGGGGAUGUCGGAGAGGGAAGAUCGACGGAGAUAAGAGAGAGACAAGUAAGGGAAGAGAUCGAUGGUGUCAUUAGUUAAGAGGAGGAUCGUGACUGAUACGAGCAAGAUUGAGAGAACACAGAGGCCUGAGAAUUUUCGACUUUGGAAGAUGUUCUUGAUCAUUCUUUCUUCUGUUUCCACACAACAAAGCAGAGAGAGAGAGAUACUCUGACCGAUCUUUAGAGAAGAGUAGAGAAGAGAGAUGUUGUAGUUAUGUGCAAAGAGCUAAAAAUAGAAAACAAGAGUGGCAAUAAAUAAAUAUUAUAUGACAUGACAUGUGUCAUGCUAUUACUUGCUCUGACGUGAUGCGAGAUAUGGAAAGUAAUCUUAAAUCUUUAUGAAGUUAUGAUUCUAUUUGUAUAGUUUGAUGUGCAAGUUCGUGGAUGAGAAUACAAAAGCUCGAAUUGGUCUAAUCGUUAAACCGGACAUCUUAUUCUACUUAAACCGGUCAAUCUAAUGAGCUUAGCUUCCUGUGUAGCCUCUUUGCCUUUGUGUUUCUCAAUAAUUCAAUAUGCUACAUAGAAUGUAAGACCACAUUAAAAAAAAAAAACUGUCAAAACAACAAGAAUAUGUCAUUUACUUGUUAAAAGCUCAAGAAUUGAUGGAAAUGCAAAAGCUAUCAAUAUUGCCAAAAUUAAUCCUCAUGUGAACAAAUUUGUUUUGAUAAUUGAGUUAUUUGUUUGUGAACGUAAAAAAUAAAAAGAGAUUAUGAUCCUAAUACAUAUCUAAUUGUCUAGUGAGUGAGUAUAAGUAAGGCCAUAUUAGAGAGAGAUGAGAAUCAAAUUAUGUAAAUAUGGUGAGUCUCAUCCACCGCUUUAGCCAAAAUCUAGAAAGAAACAAAUGGUGUUUAAUAUUAAAAAAAAAAAAAAAAAGUCAAUAUUAAUCGCCCACCGUGGGGCUCGAACCCACGACCACAAGGUUAAGAGCCUUGCGCUCUACCAACUGAGCUAGACGGGCUUGUUGUAUGUGUUCUUCGUCUAAAUUCAAUAUAGCAAACAUAUUCUUUUUUAGGGACUAGAUAGACACUGCUACUACUAGGGGCCCAUGACAUAUUGACAUGUAAUCAAAUAAGUUUUUUUUCCAUUUUUUCGAAUUUAUAAGUUCAUUGAUAUUUCAAGUUGACAUAUCUAUACAUAUGAAAAAUAAUUAGUUGUGUUUCAUGAUCAUUGAUAUUAAAAUGAAGAAAUAUCAGCAAACUGUUUUUCAGAGAUUGAUUGGUAUAUGUUAAGAAUGACAAGUUAUUUAGCUAAGCUCACAUACACCAAUCAUUAUCAAUUCUUGUCAGUAUGAUGAUACACUCACACAGCACUCUACAAACUUUGGUACGAGUUUACUACACUGAUUACUGAUCCCAUUGGAAGACCACUUUGUGUUUUUUUUUCUUGGAUGCAGAAAGUUUUGGUACCACUUUGUUACCAAAAUGAAAUAAAACACUGUACUUUCAUGCGGGGGUAAUGAAAUAAUAGAGUAGCAAUGCCCAUUACAUUACACCUCAAAACAACGGCUGAUUUGAAAUGGUCUCAAGGAAACUGAUAUUACGAAAUGGUCAAAACCAUAAUACUGAAAAUCUUAAAAAGAAGUUAACUCAAGAAACAUAAUAUCUUGUUUCUCUCUCACAAAAGAACAGAUACUAAAUCAAGUCUUCUACCUCACAAGUUACAUCUCAUCAUACUCAAAAUAACUCGAAAGUUAACCAAACUGCGAGGAGUACAGCUAAAAAAUGCGAUCAAGCAGCACCAAGAAGCUCCUGAUCGAAAUGCCAUGUUCCUGUAUACAAAAAAAAAAAAAAAACACAAAGUGUGAGGCACGAAGUGGAAGAAUUGAGGUAUGUGCAGAUAUUAGUUUAAAAGUGAUUAAACAAAUGCUUACCAUGUCCUUUGCCGAGUCUCCUAAGUUGAGAAACAUAUUCUGAGAUUUUCUUAAUCGCUUCCACCUGCGAAAUGAUGUUAUUUUAAGUCAAUUAGAUUCCAUUUUUUGAAAGAUCCAGAACCGCAUAUCUUAGCCACUAUCAUAGAACGUGUCUGUGUUUUGUUUACCUGUUCGUUCAGAAACACACUCUCAAUAAAAUCUGCCAACUGGACAUCAUCGUUCUUCGAAGCCACCUGUUGACCACAUUAUUCAAAUGCCAUAUUGUAUUAAGAAACUACUAGAUUAUGACUUGAAUGCCAUAAACAAGAAUUGGAAUCUUAAGGAGAGAGAUGGAUGGUCUUACACUGUGCAGGUUUAGGAGCUUCUCAUUGACUAGCUUCUCCAAUGAGAGAGCAAGCUCCAUGGCUGCAACAACAAACAACAUUAAAAUUAUGCAUUCCAAACUUAUAAACUCAAACGGAAAUAUGAACCACAAUCACUAUGUUAGAUGCUAAUGAAACCACAAUCUCCUCUUUAAUAAUAACAUCACACCAAUCUCAGAAACGGGAAAAAAGAAGCUUACCAUAGAGAGCAUCUCCUUUCUCAGGGUGAUCAAACUCAGACUGAGGCAGAACCAUGGGCUGUAACUUGACCCUCCCACCACGCUUGUUCUGUAGAUCAAGGAAACAAAGGAUGUUAUCAUAAACAAUCCUCAAACGAUGGGGCUUAUGAAAAAUGAAAUCGUUGGCUAAGAGACCUGAUACUCCAUCAACAGCUCAGCGUGCUCCCGCUCUUCCACACUCGAAUCCUUGAAAAAUCUGAUUAACAAAACACCAAACCACCCAUCAAUCAACACACACAGAGUGUUUCAAUAAAUUAGCAAAGGGAUUUCAAUAAACUCGUAAGUGUUUCCAGAAAAACUCACUUGGCCAAACCCUUGAGGGCAACAUUAUCACGAUCAAAAUACGCAUACAGAGCGUGGUAAACGUACGAUACGUUAUACUCCACACUGCAACAAACGCAAAUCCAGAUUCAUGAGAUACAACUCAAAAAGCUACUAAUCUCAGGGUUCAAAGCAAAAAUGGACUCAAUCGACAGAUUUACAACACAGAAUUGUUCCAAUCUAUGACUAAAAAAAAUCAUCAACAAUACAGGACGAGUAAAAACGUACUUGAUCUGCUCGUUAACAGCGGCUUCGCACUCAGAAGAGUACAAAUGACGAGCAAGAGAAAGGUGCUGACCAGAUGGAACAAGAUCUAGCUCCUUCUUUACCUCUUCGAAAGGCUCGAACACAACGCCGCUCAAGGUGCUUGAACCCUUGGUAGCACGGAGAGCGAAGGAGAGACUCCCGGAUUUUCCAGAAGAAACUGCAGGAGACGAGACGGAGGAGAAGAGAGGAGAGAUGUCUUUCUUCUCUCCAUGAAGGUUCAAGAGUGAGAAAGCAGAAGCAGCCUUGAGAAGCAUUUUUGUUGUUUUUUUUUCCUGAAGAAAAUUUUCAGAUUUAUCUCUCUCUCUGUGCAAACGAAAUUGGAGGAGAAAGAAAGGGUUUUGUGGUGUGAGGCGACUAGUGGGCGGAAGGAGGUAAUAUAAAUGGAUGAUGAGGCUAUGGAUGAACGACACGUGGAUGGACGAGAUUAAGAGGUGGGUUUAGGAGCGUGUCAGGCGUGUGGUACUACUGCUUUGCUGGAAGAUAUUUUUUAUUUCUCUCCUUGUUUCUUGUGUAAAUUUGGACUUUUCCUAAUUUUACCUUUUCGGCUUUUUCUGUAAAGAGAAAAAAAAAAGUUCUUGGUCAGGAAAAACGAAAUAGGAAUAAACUCAAUAAUGUUUUUGAAAAGAUUAUAAUGUGAUUGGGAUGAUUUGAACAAGCGCAAACCUUACCAUUAGUCAUUACGAAAUAUAAAAUUCACAAUUUUAUUUUCUUUGUCUAAAGGUUAAAAAAGAGUUUUAAAAUUCAUAUCAUCUUCUAAAAGAUAUCACUAUAGUAAGACACCAAGUGCAUUUUGAUUGUAAAUGUAGUAGAACCUACGUUAGGAUUAAGCAAGUGCCUAACUUUGUAUGUGUUGAUGUUUCAGCAAAUGCGUGAUCGAUCAUUUCAUUCUUUGCAUAGGUCUUGUACUUAUUGGAAUUUGGUAAAGACGUUCUAACCUUCUUAAUGUUUCUCUCCUUUUCGGUAUUAUAUUUUGUGUGCCAAUUUGAAACUUACCUAAAUAUUUUUACUGUAUAUGGUGAAUAGAAUGUUGUGUAGUAGCCUUCAGUUUUUCAUUCAUGCUCAAGAAACAGGAGAGACUACUUGUUGAAACACAAACUAUUUACAAACACAAACUGAUAGAUAAAAUGGUUCAAAACACUGAAACAAAGAAGAAUCAAACUAGUUGGACGAAUUAAAGAAUUGCAAAAAAACCUACUAUUACUACUCUGCAACAUUCCAAAACUACCAAAAUUCUCCACUCUUUUCUAUUGGCUUGUGGAAGCAGAAGCUUCAGGAACAUCAAUCAACGGUUCGGAUGUUGUUGUUGUUGUUGUCUCUUCAGGUCUAAUCUCUCCGAGCUGUGUCAUCACUUGUUGAGCUUCAGGUCUUGUUGACGGUGUUGGAUCAACACAAUGCAACGCCAGUUUCAGUGUAUUCAAAAUCUCAUCACCCAUUGUGUUCACAUCAUUCAACAGCUCCAAAUCGAAAACCUCAUUAGUCCACUCUUCUUUAACCGCAGUAGCAACCCAUUGAGGCAAAUCCACGCCGUUUAAGGCCUCACUCGGAGAUUUACCAGUCAAAAGCUCCAAUAUGAUCACACCUAGGCUGUAUACAUCGGUUUUCGUGUUAGCUUUCUUCAGCUUAGAGAGCUCAGGUGCUCUGUAACCUAAAGCACCAGCUGUUGCAAUCACGCUUGAUCCUGCUGCUGCCGUCAUUAGCCUCGAAAGACCGUAAUCUGAAAUCUUGGCGUUGAUGUUCUCAUCCAAAAGCACAUUGCUUGAUGUUAAGUUUCCGUGGAUGAUAUUAGCGUGCGUGUGAAGGUAGAACAAGCCUCGAGCCAUUCCCUUUAUUAAGCUCAUCCUUGUAGGCCAAUUGAUAUGAACAUCUGGUCCUCUUGCUGCAAUUUCAAGCAUGAAAACAGAGUUAUGAAAUGUUACUUUCUUUGGCAAAAAUAUUACAACACUUUGUGGCUUUUCUAGCAAUAGUUUUAAACUUUACCAUGGAGGAAUGUGGCAAGACUUCCUCUAGACAUGUAAUCGAAGACGACAAGCUUCUCUCCCUUGGGGCCUAAGUAAUAAGCUCUAAGUGCAAGGAGAUUCGGAUGCCUGAUUCUUCCCAACACAUUAAUCUCAUUCUCGAACUCCUUCUGGCUUUUGGUGAUCUUUUCUCUCAACCUCUUCACUGCAACUUGACUUCCAUCUUCAAGUGUAGCUUUGUAAACUGUACCAUACGUGCUUUUCCCCAUAAUCUCUGCGGUUGCACACAGAAGAUCAUCUGCAGUAAACGCCAUUGGCCCAUCAAAAUGAACCAGCUUCCCUCCGGUUUCGCCUCCAGUUUCUGCUUCCCCUCCUUUUUCGGUCUUCCCUGUUGCAGCUCCCUGUCCAGCCUCUCCGCCCUUUGCUUUGGUUUCAUUAACUUUUUUCCUCAGCAAGCAACAUAGAACACAUACAAGGAUAAGCAUAACUAUGAGGAGUGCUCCAGAAGCAAUGAGGAUGAUGUCUUUGGUACUCAGAUUCCUGUGGGAUGAUUUCUUUUCUUUUUCAGGAGACGGUGAGGGCAGAGUUGGACAUGGCGUUGAGACACUGUAUCCACAAAGCUGCAAGUUACCGACGAAAGAGGAGGCGUUGAACUUUUGGGACAAGGGAGUAGGAACAGGACCAGAUAAGUUGUUAUAAGAGACAGUGAAGAAGCUAAGGCUUUUCAGAUCAGAAAUGGAGAUAGGAAUCUCUCCGGUAAGUUUGUUUUGAGACAAAUCCAGAUGUGUAAGAGAAGAAAUGUUUCCUAGAGAUUCAGGGAUCUUGCCACUUAUACUGUUACUGCUAAUAUCCAUUGUUCUAAGCUUAGUGAGUUUGCUUAACUCAGAAGGCAGGGUUCCACGGAUCCUGUUAUGACUAAAGGACAACUCUUGCAGCUGAGUUAGGUUGCAGAGUGAAAAUGGGAAUGGACCAGAGAGAGUGUUGUGACCAAGAGAUAAGACACGGAGACUAAGAGACUUACUACCCCAAGUAUCUAAGAUUGGACCAGAGAGGUUGUUAUGGUCAAGAGCAAGAAACUGAAGAGAAGGAGAACGAGAGAGGCUCACUGGGAUUUGACCAGAGAGUGAAUUGAAGCUGAGAUUAAGCCUAAGAAGCUUAGAAGAGUCAGCAAGAUUCGGUGGGAUAAUCUCAGAGAGCAAGUUAUUGCUGAGAUCAAGCAUUUGAAGGAAACGCGAAACACCGAGCGAAGCAGGGAUUGAGCCAGUGAGACGAUUGUUGAAAAGCUGGACUCCUCUGAGAUUAGGAAUGAGCCCCAAGGACAUUGGAAUCGAGCCUCCAAGGUUGUUGUCAUGAAGACUAAGCUUGCGAAGAGCUUGAAGCUGUCCGAUUUUCUCAGAGAUCCUACCACCAAGACUCUUCCAUGGGAGUUGAAUCACAAUGACUUGACCUUGAGCACAUUUGAUACCAGACCAGCCUCCAGAGCAAGCGCUGAAUCCAGAACCGUUCCAGCUUCUCAAGAAUCCUCUCGGAUCAAUCAGCUCUUGUUUAACUGCUUGAAGGCCUUGGUAAUCAGCUUGUGUGAUCACUACACCGUCCCAUGCUUGGCUCGAGCUGGGAGGGACGAAGAAGAGGAGGAGCACGAUCAGGUGAAGAAGAAAGCAGCUUCGAAGUGAAGCCUUAGGUUGAUCAAUGGUGGUGUUGAUCAUACUUAAAGAAGGGAAAUCAAAGAAAGCUUGGUUUUGAGAAAUAAACUCCAUUAGAAGAGAGAAGAAGAGUUUGAGAAUGUUUAAGAGUGAAAAGUAGCUCUGAGGAGGAUAGAACAGAGGAAGAUUUUGGAUUUGAAAGAGUUUUGUAAAGUGAGAGAUGUGUUUCGUUGGAAAAGAACAACACAGCACGUGACCAUCUUAGAGAGAGAGAGAAUCUUGGUGAGUGUUGUUUUUAUCUUCUAGUGAGAGAGAGAGAGGAGGGGGAGACAAAGAUCAGGUGAUGGUAAUAAGAGGUUGAGGGGUGGGAACAGUGGCUCUCUGCUUCUUUGCCUAUAAUACUAAAUGAGCUCCAACGGCUAGUUUUCAUUUAUUCAUAUUAAUUAUUUAGUGUUUGAAACUAACACUUUGUUUUCUUCGAUGGGGUGUGGUCACUCUUGCUCAUGUUAUUUUGUCUAACGGUGUUUGUUAAAUUUUUUUAUUACUAAUUAACUACAAAAUGUGUCAUUGGGAAAUUGGAAUCACUUAUUUUCAUAAGAUUGUAGAUCUUUCUUUUUAUAAAAAGGUUUGGUUUAUUAGUAUCAAAAACGAUAAAAUCAUCAAUCACACAAUACAAACAUGUUGGUUCUGACAAAGAUUAUAAAAUCAUAAAACAAAAAAUGAUUUUGACAAAGAGUAUUACUCAUAGUUCAAAUUUGAACCAGUAAGUAAUACGAUAUUUAACACUCUAAUUUACUCGGUUAGUUUGUAACAUUUGUGAUUUCUUGGAUAGAAAAUGGAAAACAUAAAUAAAGUACUAGUUUUGGAUGUGAGGUCAACAAUAUUUUUCUUAAUUUUAUUCCAAAUCUAAAGAAAGAGAUCAAAGUAUAGUUCGUCUGAAUAAAGUAAAAUAAAGCAGACACAGCAUUUAUUUUAAAUUCUUUUUUUGUUAUUGUGUUUUGCAGACCAGCUUCGUUUAGUGCGCCGGAGCUGGUGCCCUAAAUGGACACGAACAACGAACCGCGCUCCUUCACUUCUUCUCCCAACGGCUAUAUUUUUGUGGGACCUACAAGCCAGUGGAUCACACUCACUAGUGAAGAAGCCCAAAGUUAAAAACGAAGAAGACCAUUUUCAUUUAUAUUUAAUGACUUAUAUAGUGCCCCUUCGAACUGGGAAGUAAUAAAAGUGGUGUACUAGUUUAAGAAGAAGAAGACGCCCUACUUUUUAAACUUGAAAGUGAAACUUUUCUCGUCUUACAAUUAUUAUAAAAAGAAAAGAGGAGAAGGUUUGGGUGUGUGUCCCGUACGAGGUUAUCAUAUUAUGUUAUUGUUGACGUUUGAUCUAUCUUUGCUUUUGUUUCUUUACUACUAUUACUAAUGCUAGUUGCUGCUGAUUUGUACACAUCUAACUCGAUUGGUAUGCAGCUUUUUAAAAUAUAUGUAUCUUCCUUGCAUAUACAUUUUCCAAUUUGAACACAUUUUUCAAUUUGAACACAUCUUCUCAAUCUCCAAACCAAUCCUGACCAUUUCUUUUGCAAAGGUUUGAAAGAGUAAAAUUCUGGAGAUACUCUCUCUUACCUUGAACUCAUGUGAUGUCAUGUAUUGUAUUUGCUAUCACAAGAACUGUUUGUCUCAAGUCUCACAUUAUUCUUGCAUAAAGUUUGGUGGAAUCGAAACAAGAUGGUUUUUCAAGGAAGCUUUUAUCAAACUGAUUAAGCUGUUGCUAAAGCAAUUAGAGUUCUCCUUGAAAUCUUGUUAGACCCGGGGGAAUUGAAGACCAAAACUAUACCAGAUUACCCACUAAGUUCAGAAAAUCUUUCAAAGUUAAGUAUACACAAACUAAUAACCAUCAACCUCGAACACCAAAGCUUAGCCUAAUUUUGUAACCAAUCAUCAAUGCCUUACUCUUUUAAUCAGAUCACCUUGUGUUCACCAAAUCCUUUAAACAUUAAGUGCUAGAUUUCCAACUAUAGUUUGAUUCUCGUUUUGUAGAUCUAUUGUUAUCAUGCGUUUCCAUAUUCUUCACCUUUAGUAUGGUAGCAAACAACAACACCAACUUAAGAUAUAUAAGUAUUGUGAGCUCGAUUUGACCACCAUAUCAUUCACAUAGCUAGAUCUAACCUAUAAAUUAAAUUUUGGCCAUCUGAUCAAGCUUCCGGAAAAGGAAAACCAAGGCAAUCAUAUCUGUUCCAUACUUACAUACUGAGCAGAUAUAUGAGAUAACCGCAAUUAAAGAAGAACUAGCCACUAGACCAUCAAUAAAACAACUAUGGUAAACGCAAGAGAUUUCAUGUGCGCUGUAUUGAAUAUAAUAACAAAUCUCAAAUAAGAAGAAGACACACCAACUACUAAAAAGAAUUUUACCAGUCCUACCCUAACGAUCCAAAGCGCUGUUCUCUAAUUGACUGGCUACAAUCCUUUACAAGCCACAAUGAAAUGGAUCAUUUAAACAAAGAAUAUCGAACAUGCACCAAGAAGUAUAUCUAGACAAUCUACAGAAAUCACCUAAUAAGUUCGAACACCAUAUAGCCUUUUGAAACUACUAAGUUUUCUAGCUAAGUGCUUCCAGAUCAAACUAUUAUGUCACUGAAUCUCCAUUAAACUGCUAAAGAAUCCUAAACACAAAUAGAACCACCCCAAUUGCAGCAAUAUCCUUAUUCGUUUUGGUGACCAAUGCUCUGAAAGUCACUGCCACUGAUAAAGGAAACAAGAGAACAGACUGAAUGAAGGGAGAUGAAAAUUUAACAGUGAAUCCCAAAUUAGGAGAACGAUAGAGAAAGAGCAACUUUGAGUUUUCUACAUCUGAACAUAAAAGUGUCGAGCCACCAAAUAGAAAAACAACACAAGACGAAGCAGAUAUUGCAACCAAAAAUUCGUAGUUCUAAGUAUGCUGAGCUUCGUUACGAAUCUACAUUCAAAUCAACAACACCAAAUCCCUAAAAUCAGUACGGAGUAACCAAUCAUAAUUGUAAUUAAAAGGCACGAAUACUCAUCUCAACUCCAGGUUGCUUCGUUGACGAGAUCUGAAUCGAAUCCAGCUCUUAAACUCUCCCCGAGACAGCUGCAGCAGCUGAGGUAGCAGAACCUCCAAGGAAUGAGAGUAAUCCAGCAUUGGCAGGCUCUUGAUCGUCCAAGAAGAGAUCAUCAGGAACCACAAAAGCACCGUGUACGCAAACAAUCGCAACACCAACCAUAAGCGCAGAGGUUAAGAGAGAUCCAACGCUCGUCAUAAACACGACGACGAUCGUAGACAAGACAAGAGCAAGCAAGGUCUCUCGAUCAGAGAAAGUGCGACCGAAGACGACCAAUGGCUGAUCUGAUGGCCGGAAGAGGUAAAGGAACAUCCACCCACUUAGUAGACCGAGCAGCACGAGAAGGGAGAGAGGAUGAGAGAAAAGCGAAAAGGCGAGCACGAGGGAGACGAUGGCGACGUAGUUAACCUUGAAGUAGGCGAGAUUCUUCCUGAUCCGGGACAAGGCAUCGGUGAGAGAUUCAGGACGAGCCAUGGAACUCCGAUCGACUAGCUCCGUCCAAGGACGACGCUGUGACAAGCCAUCACGGAUCGAGGUGGAGAGGCGUGAGAAGAAAGUACGAAAAGCAGGUGUGUUGAUUGGAGGCUGAGAUUGAACAGCUUGCUGAUUGGUGACAGGUAGCGUCGGUGGAGUUGCCAUGGCGGUGGCGCGUGAAGGUUAGAUGCGGCUGAUCUGGCCCUGAGCUUCCCGAUCUGUAAGCUUGAACGAAAAUAAUCAAUAGUUCUGUAGUUCUGCUCAAUCAGAGCUCGUGUAGAUUAGAUAUUUUGAGGGCCUGAGUCUGACUCUGACCAUAAAGGUUGAGCCGGCCCAAAUACUCAAAGUCGCCGGUUCGAUUCCGCCUCUUGCCUUUUUCGCAGUAAUCUUUCCUUUUUUUUUUUUGGGGGAUUUUUUUAAUCAAACCCUAAAAAUACCGAGAGCGCACGACUAACCUUGACGUCUUUACUGACGGGCGCCACGGUUUGGUGGUUCGUUCUUCAUCUUCCGCCGAUUUCUUCACUCGGCUCUGUUUUCUUCUACUUCUUCUUCUCUUGAACACUGUAAAACGACAUCGUUAGCACCAUGUUUGAUGAAAGCAAGUUCGAUGUCAAUCUCAAGCUGUGGGCUCUAAGAAUUCCCCGUGAACUCUGCAAAAGUGCAACUCGCAUUCUCAAUGGGUACGUUUCUUCAAUAACACAAAUUUAGUGAGCUAAGAAUCAUAUGACUUUCAAAAAUGUGUUCAAUAAGUUCAAAUUUUCGAGAAUAAUAAGUUCAAUGAGAAAGUGGAGUUAGCAGCCAUUACUUUUUAGUGUGGUUAGUAUUCGUACUGAUGAAAAGGAACAUACUUGGUUUGAUAACUUGUAGAUACAUGCUCAACAUGCCACGAAUUAAGCCCAUCACUGAAGAUCCUUCAUGUGAAAAGACUCGUUUGGUGAUAUUGUCCGACAACGUUAAAAGUGCUGGUAAGAGUUAAAUUCUUUAUCUGGGAAUGUGUCUAGGAAAUAGUGGGGAUUAGUCGUAUUAACCAAGUUUUUCUUUGUUAUAGGACAGAUUUGUCGGAGAUACCCGAGGAAAAACUAAACCAGCUUAAGAAACUAAGUGAAUUUGAAGUUGUUCCUCAUUCGGUCUCUCUUGGAUAUUCCUAUUGGAGUGCAGGUAAGCCAACAAUUUCAUUAGGAAGAUUUCUUCCAUUACCGUUUGUAUCUUGGAAUUAACAGGAAUGCUAUCCUUUAUGAUCUGUUUGAAACAAGCUUCUCUUGCGCUCUUUAAUCUAAAGCUUUUUUGAGUUUUUAUACAUACGUACGAGAAAAGUUGGUUACCAUUUCCUUCUAACUGUUGCUGGCCCGUUUCUUCGCCAAUUGGUUUGUGUUUCCCUGACAUUUGCAAUCCGAAUCAAUGGCUAUUCGUAAAUGGUCUAACGGUUUCUUGGGUUCUAUUAGCCUAAAAAUUCUUAUUUCCUUAAGUCCCUAUCCUGUUUAGGUGAUAUGAAAUCUUCUGAUAUGGUUUUUUCCUCGCAGAUCACAUAUUGAAGCAGAUUCUACCAGAUGGAGUGGACAUACCUUCAUCUUUUGAAACGAUAGUUAAGUAUUAAAUUUCUGUUUGCUUCUGGAACUUACCUACUUUAGAUUAGAAGAAAUCUGUUUGCAUGGUCUAGCAAUUUUUGUGUGCAUUUGUUAUAACUUAUUUCCAUCUAGUCUGCAACCUAAACACUAAUGGGUAUAUUUUCUUCUUAAGUUUUCAAGUAUUAUAAAUCCUCUCAAGAGAACCAACAUCUCUUUGCUUACUAAGUGCAGGUCAUAUUGCCCACUUAAAUCUACAUGAUGAGCUCCUUCCAUUCAAAGAUGUUAUUGCAAAGGUUAUCUAUGAUGUAAGUUUUUGAUGUUCUGUUCAUGAUAGCAUUUAUUUAUUUAUUUAAUAAUUGCAUCUCGUGUCAUCACAGCAAAGGCAUCUAACCUUCUGGUGGUCUUUUAUAUUUCUAGAAAAAUUAUCCAAGAAUCAAGACAAUUGUGAAUAAAGUUGGGACUAUCAGUAAUGAGUUUCGAGUUCCAAAGUUUGAAGUGCUAGCUGGGGAAAAUGAUAUGGAAACAGAAGUGAAACAAUAUGGCGCAAGAUUCAAGCUGGACUAUGGCUUGGUAUAUUGGAAUUCUAGAUUGGAGCAUGAGCACAUGCGGCUUUCGUCUUUGUUUAAACCUGGAGAAACCGUGUGUGAUAUGUUUGCUGGUAUUGGGCCUUUUGCUAUUCCAGCUGCACAAAAAGGAUGCUUCGUUUAUGCAAAUGAUUUAAAUCCAGACAGUGUUCGGUACUUGAAGAUCAAUGCAAAGUUCAAUAAGGUUGAUGAUUUUAUUUGUGUGCACAAUAUGGAUGCUCGUAAAUUUUUCUCUCAGUUGAUGACGGUGUCAACUUUUGAGGGUAAUCUGCAAUCGGUGGCUAAUGGUAAAACAAAGGAAGCAGUCGGUCGAGGAGGUAGUGGAUUUAAACUAUAUUUUUGCAUUAUAGUUAGCAUAAAGAAUAACAUUAACGAUUGGGGUCUCUAUACUGUGCUUAACUAUAGCUGAGACUAAAUUUGAAGAUAAAAAUGUUGGAAUUGGUGGAGAGGGGAUACAUGAAUCCAAUGCAACCAUAAAUGAGGCUCUUGGUGCAAUUAAGAAGCCCUCUGGUAUUACAGAGACAGGUAAGAAUUGUCUCAGAAUUUUUUUCUAAGACAUUCUAUUAGCCUUGGGGAUCAUCACAAUUCACAAGUAUAUAUUAUUUGAGUGCAGAAAAUGGGGUAGGAAAAGACCGCAAGAGUAUAGAAGGACACGCAAAUAAGAGGUUGAGACAAACAUUGCUUCCCAUUACAAAGCCGUGGGAACACAUCGACCAUGUUAUCAUGAACCUUCCAGCUUCUGCCUUGCAGUUUAUAGGUAUGCUAUCAACGAUUCUAGAUCUUUUGUUAAAUUUGGGACUAUUUUUAGACUCUUACAUAGGAAAUUGCAGCUCACAAAAUAAUGAUCUUGAUUCAGUAUUCUGGUUCAUGGUUAUAUUGUAAUGCUGUUUAUGCUAUGUGAAAAGAGAGUUUCAUUAACUACAUUUCACAUUAGCAAGUUAAUUAGGACCAGGGUCUAUAUAAAUAGAACAUGCAUCAUGUUUUAAGGCUUGUAUGUGUGAUUUGUUCUUCAACUCUAGUUUUUUUUUCUCUUCAUAUUACUAAUGCAUAUAAGCUCUGUAAUUGUUUGUGCAGAUUCUUUUACUAAUGUUAUUCAAAGGAAGUAUUGGAAAGGACUUCUUCCUUUAAUUCAUUGCUAUUGUUUCAUUCGUGCAAGCGAAACGACAGAGUCUAUAAUUGCAGUAAGUAUCAGCCACUCCCUCCUGCUUGUCCCUUGUAGUUUUGUUCUCUUCACUAUCAUAUCUUAAUACCAAAGACCUGUUAGCAAAUUUCGGCAUGCCUUGAAAAUCUGAAAUACUACUUCUGUGACACUUUUAAGGAAGCUGAAACUGCUUUGAAGUUCCAUAUAGAAGAUCCAGUCUUCCACAAGGUUAGAGAUGUAGCUCCAAACAAGGUAAGAUCCCACUCAUCUGUUUUUCAUGAAUGAAUUUUGGUAUAUUAUCGUCUUUGGUUCCUGAGCAUGGAUAUUUUUGUACAUUGCAGGCGAUGUUUUGUCUAAGCUUUAGACUACCUGAAGCAUGCAUGAAACAAGAAGAGUAAAAGACAUUUGUAGGAAAAAGAACAGAACCAAAAACGCCUUUGGAAUCUCUUCUCGUUUUGUUUUAUGGUAUCGUAAUAGAUCAGGAAUCAUUAAUGAAUGAGAUGAGAGUCUUCUUGUGUCAUAGGAUGUUAUAUAGCAGCAGUUCUAAAAUCCAUUGCUACAAAUGAUUGAACUGAAUUGUCAAAGAUUUUUGGUUGGUUUUAAACAUUGUUCGUAGUUUGUACCUUCACACUAAUAAAGUGUUGUUUGCCCAUACCUUGUGAAAUAAGUUCAUAGAAGAUGCUGAAGAGUCAAGACUCUGAGAGUGUAGUUGACAUUAGCAAAAAGACUGUUAGAAAAGAUGAAAGCACAUUUAGUAAUAAUAUACUCUUGACCACAUAUUCACCAUUAAGAGUGGGCUUUUACACUGGCGCAUGUUAGCAAGAAUAGUGACGGACCGUAGUGUAGAUGCGGCGGACGGAGUAACCAAAGAAGAAGGCCGCUCAAAAUAAUUAAAGUUGCCCAACCGUCACAUCUUCUUCAACCGAUCUUAGCUCAAAUAACCAACCCAAUUCUAUUUUGGUGUUAAUUCAACGAACCCAAAACCUUUUUCUUUCUCCUUUCUAGCUCAAGCUUUCUUCUUCCAAUGGCGUCUUCUGCAGCUCUCGGAUCUCUUCAUCGUGAGUCUCUCCCGCUCUGUCUCUUUGCUUUCCUUUCGUUCGUUGUGUAAAAUUAUAACAGAGGACCAUCAUUAGAAAUGUAUAGAUUGGAGCUAUCAGUUAGUGACAUUGCUGCUUCUUAGAGUGUAAUUAUACAGUCUUAAACUAUCUGAGGUUUUCAUGUUUUGAUAGAUCCGAUCUCUUUGUCGCAAUUGGUAUUUUUUUGUGACUGGAUAAGGUUUCGAUUUCGGAUCUUGAAUGUCUGAUUAUUUUUGUAUCAGAGAUGCGUUUCUCGUCUAGUGUCGGAAUAUUUCCAUUGGUCUUUCUUCAGGUGCUUUGUUGGAUUUUAGGCUAUUAAGUGGGAUUUUUCUCGUUCCAUUUUACAGAGACUUUAGGGUCACAGAGUGAGCUUCACUUGCUUUCUGGAAACUGGUCUGCCUCUGGUACUUCUUGUGUACCACGGUGGAGAUUAUCCAACAGGAGCAGCAAUUACACGCUUGUGUUACGUGCAAAGGCCUCUAAAACUUCGAUAACUACCAAAAGCGAUGGUGAGUUUUUCUUCCACAAUUCUUCUACAUGUUUGUAUUGCUGGUUGAUUCCUUUCUCACUGUUAGGAACUUAGGAUUGGAAUGGUUAUGCCACUAUGCCUCAUCACUUAGCUAACACGAUCCAUUGGCUAAAUAUGCUACUAGUCUCUUUUGCUCUUAAAGAAAUUCUGUACUCAAUUACCUAAGGCUAGCUGUAAUUCUUCAUCUUUCCCAAUUGUCUUGGAACUAGGGAAUACAGUGAUGUGAAGAUUGGAACAUUUUCAUUUCUUUCCUGGACUUUUGCUCAUCUCUGGUUUUGCAGAUUCAUCUGAUGCGACUGUGUCAAACGGGAAGAAAUCUGUUCGACGGACUACUUUCCCGAAAGAAGUGGAGGUUUCUUCCUUUGCCUUAUUUGGGUUUAGAUACUAGUUUCUUUAGCUUAUAAGUUUGGUAGGUGAUGAUUUGACGAUGUCCUCAAAUAUGCACUUUCUAGAUCGUCAGGAUUUUGGAUGCAUAACUUCAGGCAAUUUACUCUUAUAAUUUUUCAACAUGAUGUAUGGACCUUUCUUUAUAUAUUGUUCGAUGAAUUAUAUGUUUUAUUUUUCAACUGUUGCAGGCACUGGUCCACGAGAUGUGUGAUGAGACUGAGGUUGCUGUCCUGAAACUCAAGGCAAGUUUCUCUGGCGUUAACUUUAACUUUACUGUUUUCGUAAACUUUUCUUUAACCCUAUGACGAAGACAAUUGCAAGUUAUUUUACAACAGUGAUGGAGCUAAUAUCACUUAUUUGAGUUGAGGCUGACUAGUCUCUAACGUAGUUUCCAACAAUUUCAAUUUCUGAUGCUAUCUUUCACUACAGGUUGGAGAUUUCGAGAUGAACCUAAAACGGAAGAUUGGCGCAGCCACAAACCCCAUUCCCGUGGCGGAUAUUUCUCCAAGCGUAGCACCUCCUAUUCCUUCUGAACCCAUGAAUAAAUCUGUUUCUUCUGCUCCCAGCCCAUCUAAAGCAAAACCUUCUGAGAAAGUAUCUCCAUUUAUGAAUACAUCAUAUGGGAAACCAGCAAAGUUGACAGCUUUGGAGGCAUCUGGAUCAAACAAUUAUGUUCUCGUCAAAUCUCCCUCAGUAUGAGAUCCAUCACCAUAUUUAGUGAUUGCUUUCAUAUCCCUUUCUCGCAUUCUUCUUGUUUAAUUUGAUCUUGAAUCUUCUUCUCUUUUCUAAAGGUUGGCGAGUUUCAGAGAUGCAGAACUGUAAAAGGAAAGAAACUAUCUCCUACCUGCAAAGAGGUAAUUGACUCUAAACUCUUUUUCUUCUCUUAAAAUGAAAAGACAAAUAAGAUUAAAGAAUGUCCCAUCCUAAAUCCUCAGGGUGAUGAAAUAAAGGAAGGCCAAGUUGUCGGAUACUUACAUCAGUUGGGAACAGAACUUCCAGUGACGGUAAUAGCUUAAGCUAAUGUAUCCAUCUCUUCUUCGUAACUAUCAAAUAUUGUACUCAUCGAUCUUUGCUAUUCAUGAAACAGUCGGAUGUAGCUGGGGAAGUCCUCAAGUUUCUUUCAGAUGAGGGAGGUAAACAUUUUGAGUAUUCAAACCGUAUCAAUUAAUAUGAACAUUCAGAAAUCAUAUGAGAAAAUUAAUAUAAACUCUCAUGCUUCAUGUAAAAACAGACUCUGUAGGUUAUGGUGAUCCUCUGGUAGCGGUCUUACCAUCGUUCCACGAUAUCAACAUCCAGUGAGAAUGAUGGUUUCUUCAGCCCAAUUCCGCACCAAAUGAAUAACCUUCAUCAUCUCGAGACUGUACUAUUCGUCUUGUCCUGUGUUUCUUUUUUUGAAGAUUGUAGUUGCAAAGAGUCUAUUUUGAUCUUGCUCUUAUCAUUUGUCUUUUGUCACGUAACCUUGUGUUUUUGUUUUUGGUCACGUAAUGUUUUUUUUUCUGCACCAGAAAAAAAAAAAGAGAGUUGUGGUGAAUUUUGUUUUGUUAUUAGAAAUGACGUGGCUAUCUUAUCUUCCCCGAUCAUCAGAAGAAAUUCAGAAGAAAAUUGACGAAUGUUUGUUUGAUUAUAAUUAUAUUAACCGUGAAGAACAUAAAUUUAAAGUUGCUCUCUCUUAUUAUUGUAUUUGUAUCGGCUCGCUCGAUGUAUGUGUGAUAAAGCUGACGUGUACAAACGGAGCUCUCUGCUCUUCUCGGAGAAAUGAAACUCACCACAAAUGAUCUCUUCGUUUCUCAACCAUUAUUUCACUGCCCUUGCUCCUCCCACCGUCCUCGCCGUCGCCGUCUCCAUGGCCUUCAUUUUCCGAUCAACCUCAGUAAUAAGAAGAACAAUUCUUUAUCCGUCGCUGCUCUUUCUGAUUCCGAUCUUCCAACACAAGCCGCUUUCUCUCGCCGCGCUAUUCUUCUCUCGCCGCUCCUCGCUUCAGCUGCUUCCUUGAUUCUCAAGCCGUCUGUCUCUUUAGCCUCCGAGGAGAGCUCGUCCGCUACAGUGAAUUCGCCUGCGGAAUCAGCAGCUCCUCCUGCGACCGCCACCGCUCCAUCUCCGCCGCCUGCGGAAGAGACUAUAACCUCGAGAAUCUAUGACGCUACGGCCAUUGGUGAGCCGAUGGCUAUGGGAAAAGAUAAGAAGAAAGUGUGGGAGAAGCUGAUGAACGCGAGAGUUGUGUACCUCGGCGAGGCGGAGCAGGUGCCUACCAAAGACGACAAGGAGCUUGAACUCGAAAUCGUUAGAAACUUGAGGAAGCGAUGUGUUGAGAAUGAUAGCGAGCGUCAAAUCUCUGUUGCACUAGAAGCAUUCCCUCUCGAUUUGCAGGACCAGCUUAAUCAGUACAUGGAUAAGAGGUUUGGCUACACAUUCUUACUUCGAGCUCGAGAUUUUCGUGAUCCUGAGUAAUUUUCGUUUUUGGUGGCAGGAUCGACGGAGAGACAUUGAAGUCUUAUGUGACAGAUUGGCCUCCUCAACGCUGGCAAGAAUACGAGUCUCUUUUAAGUUACUGUCGCGAUAACUCUGUUAGACUAAUUGCUUGCGGCACUCCUCUCAAGGUAGAGUUUUUGGAUCUAGUUUAACUGUUUGGAAUCUUUGGCUCAUCUUUAUUGUUUGGUUUGGUUUGAUUUUAUUGUUUUAAUUCGGAUCUAGAGUGCUUUUAUGAUAUUUUUUUGAAUAACUGUUGGACUCUCACUGAUUGAUGUUUGUGGGAAUAAUAAUUAUAGUCUUCACUGUGUAACUGAGUAUGGACAUGUUAAAGCUUUUAAAGACUAAAGAGAAUGAGCUUCUCAGAAAUUUUGCUUUUGUUUGUUACUCUUAUAAGAGAUGAAAAAACUCUGCUUAAUCUGAUGUAGGUUUUAAGAACUGUCCAAGCAGAGGGUAUCCGUGGACUUUCAAAGGCUGAGCGUAAAUUAUACACUCCCCCUGCUGGUUCUGGGUUUGUCUCAGGAUUUUCUUCAUUCUCACGGAGAUCUACAUUCGAUAUGAGCCUCCCGACACAGAUUGUUCCGUUUGGACCAAGCUCUUAUUUGUCGGCACAAGCAAGGGUUGUCGAAGACCAUACAAUGUCACAAGUUAUUUUACAAGCAGUAGCAGAUGGAGGGGGUACUGGUCUACUGGUAGUGGUGACAGGGGCAAGUCAUGUUGAGUAUGGUUCAAGAGGAACAGGUUUGCCAGCAAGGAUCUCAAGGAAGUUUCCAAAGAAAAACCAAGUCGUUGUAUUACUUGAUCCUGAAAGACAGUACUUGCGAAGAGAGGGCGAAACUCCAGUUGCUGAUUUCUUAUGGUAUUCUGCUGCAAGGCCCUGCAGUAGAAACUGUUUUGACCGAGCCGAAAUUGCUAGAGUAAUGAAUGCUGCUGGCAGGAGGCGAGAUGCCCUUCCACCGGUAAGAAUCAUAUGGUUGCUUUCAUUAUAUUGACGACCUGUGCUCUUGUAUCUUAAAAUCUCUUAUCAAUUGAUUUGAUAAGCAGUUCAAUUCUUUUCCCCAAUUUUUUCUUUGUUGAGCAUGACUUUGGAUUAAGCUUGUAUAUGACAAGUUCAGAAUGAUGCAAUCUAUUCCAUGCUUUCCAGGAUAUUCAAAAUGGAUUAGACCUUGGUCUGGUGUCACCUGAGGUUCUGCAGAAUCUAUUUGAUUUAGAGCAGUAUCCUCUUAUUUCUGAGCUUACUCAGCGGUUCCAGGUAUAUACAUUCUGGUUUGCAUGGAAUAUUUAUGCUUUGUGCUCUAUAUUGAUAUAGCAGAGCUUGCAUACCAGUCUAGUUCAUACAUUACUUGUCCUAUAUUUAUCAAGGUUCUUGAAUAGUUUAGUGGAAAUUCAAUAACGACGAUUUACUGUGAAUUUGUGAUACAGGGUUUCCGAGAAAGGUUGUUGGCUGAUCCAAAAUUCCUGAAUAGGUUAGCUAUUGAAGAGGCUAUAUCAAUAACAACCACACUUAUAGCACAAUAUGAGAAGCGGAAAGAGAAUUUCUUUGAAGAACUCGACUAUGUUAUAACUGAUACAGUGAGAGGAUCAGUCGUUGAUUUUUUCACAGUUUGGCUUCCUGCGCCAACUUUGUCUUUUCUAUCAUAUGCUGACGAGACCACCGGACCAGACAGCAUAGAAUCCCUGAAAGGCCUCCUAGGAUCCAUACCUGAUAAUGCAUUUCAAAAGAGUCUUGCUGGAAGAGAGUGGACUCUGAAUCUUAGAAUUGCCUCAGUUGUUGUUGGUGGCUUGAAGCUUGCUGGUGUUGGAGUUGUUUCCAGUUUUGCGGCUGUGGGAGGGUCAAAUGCAUUGAAUGUGGUACGGAAGUUCAUUAAACCCGAGUUGGUUGUUGCUCAGAAGCCAAAGAGGUCUCCUCUUCUGAAAACGGCAAUGGUUUAUGGAGGUUUUCUGGGAGUAUCUGCAAAUAUUCGUUACCAGGUAUGAUGACCCAUUCUGCUCGACAGUGAUGGUGUAUUUAUGUUACUUUGUUGUCUUGGCUAAGGGAGAGCGUUGAUGGAAAGACAUUAUCAUUUGAUUUAUUCCUCUAACAUGAAAGUGUCUUUAUAUGCAGAUAAUUGCUGGAUUAAUAGAGCAUCGUCUAUCUGAUGAGCUUUCUUCUCAACCUCUACUUGUAAAUACGAUUUCAUUUGUUGUCAGGACACUUAAUUCAUAUUUCGGAACACAGGUCAGUCUUACAUGCCUGUAUAUUUUAUUUCUUUUUCCUCUUUUUUUUUAUUUCCUUUUCUCCUUUAAGCAUAGUGUCCUGAACCACUUAUUUUGGAAGUCCUAUUGACUUGAUCCCAACUUUUGAUAAAAAUGUGGCAGCAAUGGAUUGAUCUUGCACGGUCUACUGGUCUGCAAACUCAGAAAAGCAUUCCACCCCCUACCAAAGUUCCAGAGGCUUUGGAAGAAUCUACGGUGGAAUGCGAUACUACUGCUGAAGAGGAAAGUGUUGACAAGCUCAAUAAUCAAUGAUGCUGGUAAGGCUUCCCCACUAGUUAUCAAUGCAUAAUUUUUUGCCAAAAGCCUUAGAUGAUAUAAAUGAGGAUAAUAACUUUUAAUCAGUCAUUUUUAUAGGAUGGUGAAAAACUGUAACACUCUUAGUUGACAAAUAUUUUUGUACAGGAGUUGGAGAUGGUAUCUCUGUUGGCAAUAAGUUGUGGUCCAGAAAUACAUUGUGGAGUCCGGAACAAGAAUUCAGCAAACCUGUUGUGUAUGAGUCAGCUGCAUUUUGUUUAGACACGUAGCAUCAUGUAUACUGUUUUCUUUCUGGAAUUAAAGGCUUUGUCAAUGAAGCUUACGUUAGUUACUGAUACACAGUAAAAAUCAGGAAUCUUUGUCCAUGCAGUGCAGAUAUGUUGAGUGUAGGUACCAACUGGAGAAAUUUUUUGAAGGUCUUCGUGUGACUCGACAUCAAUCCUGAUAAGUAAUUUCCAGAUUUGAGGGUGGUUAUAUCUACAAAUUUUUGUGUGCUCAAAAAAUACACUGUACUAAUACAGCAAUGGAUGGUGGACUCAAAACCAGCGGUAUAUAAGUUUCUGCAUGUUCACUAUGCCAGGUACAUUUUGCAAAACUUACUAUCUAUUCCAAUAAUAUAUGUGAUUUUUUAUUGAUUUGGUUUUACUAUGUUGCAUGUCAUGUUCAAGGAACUAUACAGGUGUGGAAGGUGCUAAAGACAGUUUUCCUACAUUUACAAUCAAGAACAGACAUUAUCACCUACAGGCCACAGUUCAGUUCCUCUGAUAAAACCUGAACAUCAAGAAGCACAGCUGUGAUCGUAUCACACUAAUUUUUCUCCUUUGAAUUCCAGCAAAAGAGCCUUUCACUCACACUCACAGCAUCAUUACCCGGGUUUGGUAAAUGCAACCGACCUGCUUGCAUAGGUUUUUCUUUUCUUGUUGUAUCUGUUUUUGCCAUAGGACAUGAGUGCCAUAGGACAUGUGUGCCAUAGGACAUGAGUGCCAUAGGGCAUGAGUUCAUAAUAGAAUUUACUUGAUAAUUUUCAUUGUUGUUAGCUCUUCAACCCACUAUAAACCCCACGAAAGUAGACAAUCUCAUUAGAGAUGUUCUUAAUCAAAUACUUUAUCGAGAAGAAAAAACUAUGCAAACAAAGAUUAGAGUACAAACCCCAAAAACUAAACCUGCGGCUGCAAGCAUAAAAAACAAUGAGAGAAACAACCAAAGACUUUCUACUUUUUCCAAUAAAGCAUUCUUAAACGUUAUUUUUUUCCAACUGGCAAUAUCAAAAGAAAGAAGCAAUCCCAAUGGGAGAUCCUGUGAUGAACAUCUCUUAGAAAGAAAAGUUUGAUAACCAAGGAAUAAAAAACAUAACAAAAGGUCUUAACUAGAGCCUUAAGGUCAACACUGACUGCAAAUUUCUCCUCAUCCUCUUUAAGCACGAACACCACGGUUGAGACUCACCAUACGGCUUGAGCCAUCCAUUUGCAUACCUCUGUUUCCUGAACCAACUCUUCCUGCAUACCCUCCUCCUCGGUUCUGCCCUGACCACUGACCAUUUUGUCUUCCUCCACCAUAACCAGAUCUGCUACCUUGCCUUCCUUGUCCAUAAUUUGUCUUGUCUUGCCAAUAUCCACCACCACCUGAUGCUGCUCCAGCAUAGUCCUGAUUGUUGUCCCUUCUCCUUGAACUCAGAUCCAGACCACCUCCACCGGUUCUAGAUUCCAUUGCCCUUUCAUUGCUUUCUGCCAAAAUUGAGAGUUUCUCAGUUAACUGGAAAGCCAAUGACUGUAAUCUGCUGUGUUGCACUUCAUGAAAGACUAUGCAUUGAGUUGGCUGGUCCCAGCUUGCAUGAAGCUCCUCAUUAAUCAUCAUCUUGCUCACAAUGCUGUGGACCUGUGGCUCAGGGACGUCAAACAUCUUGGCCAGCUGAUCAAGACUUAAGGACUCGUAGGAGCUAGAGUAUGUGAAUAGGUAAGUCCUUAGAGCCUCUUCUUUGAUCCUAUCUUUCACCAUAUCGAGGAUACUAUCACGGUUCUUGAGCAGCCUCCAGACAUCAAGAGAGUUCAAAACUUCAAACGCCUUUUGGAAAUCCCCUUUGGUCAGGGCUCUGGUGGCUGCCAUGACGUGGUCACGGACAUUCUCAGGCGGUGCUGUGAAUGCUUGCCUUUCACUGAUCUCAAGCAGGCGACGGAAAUUCUUGCUAAUCACUCUGCGUUUGGCAUCAUGGGAGUUUGCAGCCAUGUUUGGGACUUCAAGUAGCAUGGCACAGAUGAGAUGAACUGCCUCCAGGAGCUCAAGGUUUAAGUGCAUGUGGUACGGCAUUUGUCUUCUCCUUUCCAUCCUUUCCUGGUAAAACCAAGAAAAGUUCAUAUCACAUAUAUAUACUGAACAAAUCAACAUGACCAUAAAUAUUUAUGCUGAAAUGGAGAAAAUGGACAGUGCGAAAAGGUAACAAAACGAAGAACCCCAAAAUGCAUCAGUCCUUGUAAUUAAAAUUAUAUGAUCAGAAAUAAGGUUUGAGUCAGAAUUCUAUGAUCAAAAGGAUUUAUUUCACCAUCUAUAUGUAUUAGAAGAUCUUAAAUCAGAAGAAGAAAAAAAAUGAUUACCUGCUCUGGGGUCUUUUCAUGGUAUCGGCUUUGCGAGACACCUUGGGCAAGCAACUCCCUCACUCUUUGACCAGAGUACAGCUCGGAAAGGCAGCUAUGGGACUCAGUGAUCAUUCCAACCCGGAAGGCGCAAAGACCAAGCUGCGCCAUGGUUCUAUUAAAAAGAAUCUGUGUUGAGAUGUCCAUGUGCUGGACGUUGUCUUGCAGAUGACUCAUCAACAAGAGGUCUCUAGCAGUCACAAAGUUGUCCAUUAACGCAUGGUGAUUAAUAUCACAUAGCAUUGCACGCGCUUUGGUCCGCUCAUCUCCAUUUCUGUAGAUAAGGGACACAAGAAUGUCCAUCAUAGCACGGCUGCUCUCUGGGAAGGUAGGCUUACGAGGAACAACCUCGGGAACAACGAUGAAUGAAGUAGGAGGUCCACUUUCCUCUUUGGCCUCCUCAGUUUCUUCUUCUUCUUCCACCAUUUCUGCCAAUUUCCUCAUAGCAUCAUAAACUUCCUGAGGCUUGUAAUAUAUUGACUCAACUCUUCUUAAGGCUACCUUUGCAGCAGCUUUAAAAUCACCCAUCCGCUCGAAAUAGUCCUGGAUGUUCUGAGCAAGGGCCAAGAACAUCGGCUCAUCCCGCAGUCUCUCAACAUACUCACGUGUGUGGGGAUCAAUGCAUUGCAAACUCUUGAAAAACUCAGUGUCAAUCCGCUCCAAGAAUGCAACCAAAUUUCCCCAGACCCGAAUUUUUCCAUCAUAAUCAGCAGGCUUUGAAGUUUCAUUCUCAUCAGGUUCAAUUGUGUCAUCCACAACAAUGUUAUUGUAUUUGACAAGAAUAUCCAGUAUGGUGAGCAUGUUAAGCACACAUUUCUUCCAGACAUUGAUAGGCAUGUGCCCGCUGAGACCUGGAUUCACAUCAAACUGUGCUGAAAUAACGCUAAACAAGAUUUCAAGCUUCUGCGCAGGAGUCUUGGCAAUCUUUGUCAAGUGCGUAAGCUGAUCAACUAGCUCAAAUCGAGCAGUGCCCUUUUUCCCACGAGCAGCCACAAUUUCCUUAAACUUCUUGUUGACCCAGUCCCAAGUAAUCUCUUUAGGAUCUUUGUUAAUCAGCUUCUCCAUAAGCUUAUCUUUUUUGCUCAGCAUCUUCUCCCAAGAAAGAUUAUCAGCAGGUUCAUCUAUCUCCUCUUCAGACUCAGGGUCAACGUUACCAUUGUCCUCAGAAUCAUCUUCAUCUUCCUCAUCUUCUUCAUCGUCCUCUUCAGGCUCUUUCUCAUCCUCGACUUCUGGAGACUCGCGAUAUUUGUUGAUAUCGUCUUCAUACUGCUUGUUGUUUUUCUUCAAUUUCUGUUUCAUUGAGUUCAAAGCCUUGGAAUUACUGGUGCUCAUCUUCUUCUUUGCUUCCUUAUUAGCCAGAGCUUCAUUCAAGAAAUCCUCCAACAUCACAAGCAUCUUGAUAUACAGGGUCGGAGGCUUCACAGCCUCAGUAAUCCUCAUAACCUUCUCAAGCUGUUUGUUGACCUUAUCGAAGUUUUCUUGGAGGCUGACCCAAUCAUUGAUCUUCACAGCAUUCUUCAUCUGCUCAACGGUGGAGGUCAUCUCCUCAAAUCGUUUAUCUUUAGCAGGCUUAACCACACGUUUGGUAUCAAGAUCUUCUUCAUCCUCACUACCACUUUGAAGGUAACGGUUAUUGAUGUCGUUAUUCUGAACCUCGGGAACCUCUUCGUCAAUUUCACUCUCAUCUUCACUUUCACUUCCACCCUAGGAACAUAACAAGAGAUCAUUAAGAAACUGAAGCAAGUAACGAAAGUUUACAAGAGACGUAUAUAAAACAAAAGGUCUGAUCAAGGAAACCUGAGCGAAAAAACGAGACGUCAUCUUCUUUAGCUGGAAAGGGAAGCAACAAGAACCUGAUACACCAAAUAGUAAGCAAUUUGAAUAGCGAAGCAGAUGAUAUAUACACAAGUGCAUCAAAUCCAUUCUAAUAACCUAUAAUAUUAGGAUACAAAUAUGUCUCAACCUAGAUUUGAAACGAAUCAAUCGUAUCACAAUAAACCAAACUCGAACCGAAAAAUUUGUUGAGCGGGUUGAGGAAUGAAGAAAUUACCUUGAUUGAGACGAUGGAGAUUUGCGAAGGCAGCUGCUUGAAGAAGAUGAUGAAUCUAAAAGAAAAUGUGGCGUAGCCGUCAAAGGCUUUUUGUUGCAGAUCGAGAUAAAAUAUAUAGAAUUAGGGUUUUCGUCAUUUACUCAUUUUUGAACCGGAUUCGAUUUUACUCUACCGAAGUGACUGAUUCUAUUAAAUUAUACAAACCGAAUUGGUCGAACCAGGACUAAUUGGCGUAGUGAUGGUUGAAUUAAUUGAGAAAAUAACCGGUUCUAUCCUUUUUGAUCAUCAUAACUUGUUUGCAGUUGCAGGUGGUGAUCAUAAAAUAUUUAACGUUUUCGAUUAUUCAUUUAUUACAAGAUUUUUUUCUAUAUCGUUCUUACAGAAAUCAUACAAAUGGAAUCAGCAAACAUUUUGGCUGAACCAAUAAAACGCAGACCGAAACCGAAUCACUCGACCAAAUUCAGAGAGUGAUCGAUCAUUAACUAAGCUUCGGUGCUUCGAAGGUUUCCACAAUUUCCAGACUUGAUGCUAAGUAACAUUUUGAAUGUGUUUUAGGAUGUAACCUUCUCCACAACAUCAGUUUCAUUGAUUUUUAUCUCUCAGGCUGUCUUUACAUCAGUCGAAGUAUCUUUACCCUUCCGGAGCCAUAAGUUGACAAGAAUUGAAUCAAUCAUGAUCUACACAGUCCAGAAUUAUAUGUCAAUAGUAAUAAAAAGUAUGCAAACGAAUAUUAUAUUAUAAUACAACUUCUAACCUGGUUCAGGUGUGCAGCUACACAAGGAAGAACCAAGAGCCCUGUCUCACCAAAUGCACCUCCCAAUUGCUCCACUACCGCCACCAUUACCGGUAGUGUUUUCUAUGCCACGAGAAAAGACCUCCCAAAUUAAGAGAUCAAAUCGGCGCUAAAGGCAAACUUUGUUAUUUACCUGACUUGAAACGAGCAAGACUGCAGUGCCAUUUUCCUUUGAGUUCUUGCUACCACCUGAAACACCUGAGAGGAUGCCGAUCGAAACAGCAUUGAAUGCUAAUAGAGAAAGAUGCAGCAAUCUGUGGGAAACGUAAGAAUCAUCUUUCAAUACAUGUUUCCAUGUGCUUCUUCACUUGGUAUACUUUCCAUAUGUAAAAGAAGAGAAAUGCAUACAUUCCAAUGCCAACGGCAGCAAGAAAAACCUUAGGCUUAACGGAUAACAGCAGUGAUCUUGACCUGCUAACUUGGAUCCAUGGUACCUUAAAAUGUUAUCAUGAGAUAAACAUAAUACUAAGUUCCCCAUAAAACCAGAUAAACGCAUUAACAAAGUGAAGCCAUUUGAGGAGCUAAAUUGGUUCUACUUUAGAAGUCAUAAACAUGAACAAAAUCCGGUUUCUGCUAUUUGAUUGAUAAGCUUUUGAAUAGUCCAAAAACUCGUGGAAAAUUGUACUCUUUCAGAAUAAAAUCUUAACUAUAGACAUAAAAUCUUAACUAUAGACAUAAAAAACAACAUUAAGAUUCCUGCAACAAAGUAAAACUCCAAGCCUACCCUGUACGACUUCAGAAUUUUUUUUAAAUAGUUUAGAAACUAUGGAAGACUGACAUUUCAUGUCUUACCAUACUGAGGCAGAUUGCGUUGAUCUUUGAAAAUAGAUUACGGUUAUUGUCAACAAAGUUUGCAAACCCUGUAUCAAACAUUGCCACAAGAGAUUCUAUAUAGUCAGAAAAUUGGCAGCAAUUAGUAGACAGAGGAUAGAACUUCAUGCUGCAACUAUAAGGCGUCUGCUAAAACUAUUUAGAUGGUUUAUGUUAUACCAUGCAGGGUAUCACACUUGAAAAGAUAAGAGAUGAUAACCAUAAUAUUAUUGUAUGCAAUUACUUUCACCAGAAAGAGAAAACACAAUAAACGAUACUUACCUUUGAAUGAUUCCCGAAUAACCUAUAACAGAUAAAAUCCAAAUAUGUCAAAGCCCGAGUCUGCAAUAUGUUAAGUGAUAGAACUUCAUGCUGCAAUGACUGUUUGUGUAAUGCUCUAGAACCAAAAUUGAAUGUAGCCAUCACAUCAGAGAUGUUCUUAAUGAAGCAUUAUUCAUCUACUUUAUCGAGAAGAUUAAAACUAAGUAGAAAAGAAUAAAGAGUAUUAGACCUCACAUAAAACAGACCUGAAAGCACAUUAGAAACUAUGUAAAUAAACAACCAAAGAUUUCUUCUUUUCCAUAUGAGUGACGCAUUCCUGUAGGUUUUUUCUAAUAAAGCAUUCCUAUAGGUCAUUCCAACAAUAGCCAGUGAACAUAACGCUUUCACAAUUGAACCAUAUAGCCAAAUAUUACAUGGAUUCAUCAUUGCAAGAAGUAGGUCAAGCAGAAAGAUUGUCUCACCUUGCCAAUGAUUAAAGGAAUUAACAGAGUAACUACAAGACUUCUGAACAAUUGCUCAGUUGGAAAAGAAACACCUACUCCCCCAGCUAUGUAUCUCGAUACCCAAAAUGGAAUCUGAUAAGAGGUCAACCAUGUUAACUUCAGUGACAGAAGAUACAAUGCUCAUUCCAUUUUUUACAGAAGACUUUUAAUCCUAAUCGUAAUUCAAGAUCAUAUGCUAUUUUGAAACGAUCUGAUAUAGACCAGGAAACAAUCUGACUAGAAAUAUAAUUGAUUCUGCAUGAUCAUCUUAUAGUUUCGAAUGGGGAACACUAAUAAUAUGCAAGAGGGUGACUUACACUUAAAAUUCCUAAUAAGUUUGAUGCCACAGUCACCGCAAGCGCAAGAGCAGCAUUGCCACCAGCAAGCUAAAUUGGCAAUUUUGAUAAGUCAGUGGAGAAUGCAAGAAAAACAGUUAUGCACAAAAUAUUGUUAAGACAUAUAUCAAAUGGAGUACGUGAGUAAGGGCAACACCACUUGAUAAGGUGGUUGGCAUACAGCAAAAUAUAGCCAGCCCUGUAGAUAGCAUGAGGACAAAAACUAGUCAAGUUUCGUUUGUAUUAUGCAAUUAAUAUGCAUUUCCUGCCCGUCACUCUUAAAUCUAAAUGGGAUAAACGCAAUGAGAUUUAGCAAGAAUAAAAGAAAACAUGAAGGUGAAACUGUUGAAUAUAAGAUCAAAAAGGCAAUGAGAUUAAGCAGUGAGCCACUUGAUCACCUAUGUUUGCAAACCAUAUUAUAAAUAAGUUUGUAAGUAUAUUAAUUAUUGAACCGGUGACAGUGUCACUAAAAUUACAGAUGCACUGUAAAUUAAUGGUAGUCAAUAAAAUAUAAACUGUAACAAGGUAAGAAAAGAACAUGAUCUAUUCAAGAAAGAGACAGAGUAACCUGUAACAAGUUCCGGGGGUUGAAGUUGGAACAGCAUAAUUAGCCGUGAGAAGGAUGGAGUGAGCAACAAAAUAGAGAUCUGAAAAAGAAAAAAAAAAAGAAAAAAAGAGAAUAGUUUGGGAUUAAGUAUGCAGUAUAACUAACAGGAGUUAUAAAGGAAAGGCAUUACCCAACAGGUUGUUAUCAAACAUGACUGACACUGAAUGGAAAGUACAUUGGGGCAAAAGGGUUUCUUUUCAUUUCACUGUCUUAGUAGUUUUGUAAAUGCAGAAAUUAAUCUUUCAUGAACUUAAAGAAUAUAGAGAUCGAAACUAAAGAGAAGGGGAACCGUUCAGAGUACGUAAAAACCAGUGAAGAACAUACUAGCCCGAAGACUCCAAGAGGCCAUCCUUUAACAGCAGCACCAAUCGCUUCAGUACGUAAAGUCAAUCCUGUACCACAUUACAUAGAAAGAGUACACAAUGGAUAAGCUAUUCGACGGAAACAAAGUGAUUACUUCCAUCACCCUUUAUCAUAUAAAGAACAACAACAAAGCAAUUGUACACUUAUGCUAUUAGCAUGACAGAAUCACCUGAUAUAAUAAAUAUUCCGCAUGUGCUGAUCUUAGUGAAAGAGUAUUUGUCUGCAAGACAGCCUAGAGUUGGAUUUGCAAAGCCCAGCCCCACUCCACUAACAAGAGCUGCAAACAAAUAAACCAACAAAGCACAAACAUCCAACUGAAGUGUCAAAAGUAACAAAGUGAGGCAUAAGAGUACAUAGAUGAAUUCGAAAUGACGUAUCUAUGCUUCAAUUCUAUUUAUCAUUACGGCUAUGGCUACGUCCACAGAGGUCACUUGAACUAAUCUUCGUUGAAAAUUAAAGUGAUAAGUAAUCUUCAUUGAAAAUUGAAUUUUGAUGCAGUCAAUCUGCAUAUCAGACUUUGAAAGAUCUAACCAUUGAUUUUACAAAUUGAGAAAAAUGGCAAGAGCAAUGUGUAAUAUUACCUAGAGGCAAGAAAUUAUCUGAAGCAAAAGUCAGCAGUUCCUUCCCAAAAUGUAAUCUUUUAGCUGAAGGUGAAAUGCCUCCAUCACCACCAAGCUGUGAACAAAAACAAACAUCUCCAACGAGUCAAACAAAGUUCGAUCAUUUACAUCACUUCGAUUCAUUCUCUAAAUAAACUUGGAAUCGCAACAAGGACACUAAAACCAUAGCGCACAUAAAAUCGAAGGGACAGCGACAGAGACCUUGUCGGACGGUUGGCAAGCUCUAAUGGAUCUGGGAAUCCAUCGUCUGCCACAGGGCUCUCGAUAGCGGCGGAAGACGACGGAGCGGGUCCCAAGAGGCGUUGGUUCCCGGAGACAUAAAAAGGGGUUUUGGGUUGAAGUCAGGAUACUAGCUAUCGCCAUGAGAGUAGUCUUCAGAAUUAGAAUCAAAGGUGAACAGAAGAAUGAAUAAUUAAAAAAAAAAAAUCCAAUGCAUUACUCAGCUCUCAAUAAUCUCUCAGAUCAACACUGUAAACAACUCCGGCUUAUAGGAACCACUUUCCACUACCACUAGCUAGUGGCUACUCUUAUUUGUUUAUUUAUUUAUUCAUAAUUCAAAUUGUAUAAUUUAUUUUCAAUUUCAACCAAUCAUGAGUUUCAGAGUUUGUCUUUCAUAUCAAAUAAUGAUUAAAAACAAUAUUCCCAAUUCUUGGCUCUAUUGAGUCUAAUAAGAUUGCUAUUGACAAAAAAAAAACAAAACAAAAAAAAACUCUAGUCGUCUGAGUAAUUGAGAGCGAGACUCCAGUAGUGUGGAACACCAGCAUCCGUGAAAACUUUCUUUGCAGCAGAUUCAAAUGAGCACUCUUGUACAUUAAACUUAUGAAAACUCGGUUUCUCAACACUUCCUUGCCAAAUCAACCGACACUUGUUUCCACCAUUCUCCUCUUCUUCUUCUUCUUCCUUCUUCUCUGUCUUUUCCCAGUUUAUUCGCUUCAGCAUCAGCUUCUUAUAUGUCUUUAUUGAUUUGCUAUUACCUUCAACCACAACAACACUAAAUCCAUCCGUCAUCACACUGCACCCUGUUAAUAUGUUCUGUCUUGCAUUCAUCUCCACUUUGAAUCUUGUUUCGGGAUGCGACAACUUCUUGUUGAUCUUGUACACUGACACAAUCGUCUCAACUGUUGUUGGAUCACCAUAAAGCUUCCUUUUUUUCUUCUCACGUUUCUCUGCAGGAGUUAGCUUCCUCGCAGUGUUCCUAUCCCUGUGCGCCUGUUCACGCUCGGCAGCUGCUGUGCGGAUCUCUUUCUCAAGCUUGGUUGGGUCUUGGGUUGCUUCAGACGCAAGAACCUUCAUUAGGUUGCUCAAUUUCACCUUUGGUUUUGGUGGUUCAAGCAAACCUAGUCUAAUCAUCUUUUGUUUCUCCUUUUCUUUUGCCACACGCCUCAAGCGUCUCAGUUUCUUCUGUUCCUUCUUUGUCAGUUUAAGCAGCUGGGGUGGUGGAGACGCUGAUUCUGCAAGUGGCUCUAGGGGGAAUUGAUGCUCUACGUUACCAAUAAUUUUUUUUAUCUUGAGAUGGCUUUCAUUAAUGGUGUCAUUGAUGAGGAUAUUUGGAUCCGACAAUAAGUCAGUAAUGGUGUCAUUGGUGAGGAUUUCUGCAUCCCACCACUCAACAUCUGGGAUUUGCUCCUUGAGCUUCUCUUUUCUUGCGACACUUUCAGAUGAUUCUGUCAAAUCGGGAUUCAUAUCAUCAUCCUUUGCCUUUUUCGGAUGCCCUUGCUUCACCUUGAAACUCAUACGUUUAGGUCUCAAAAUCUUGUUUUUCUCAAUACCAAUCCUUUGAUCAUAAUGGUGCAAGUUCUCUUGUGGAUCUACUUCCAGUUGAGGUUUAAGAAUCCGAAAAGCAUCUUUCUUUUGUUUGUUGAUGUUAACUUUCAAUGUAAUAAUACUGCUUGGUUUAGUCACACUAACCACGUGUCCGUGUUCAUCUAUCUCUCUUCCAAGAGCAUCCAAACGUAGAACAUGAACAUGGGCCUUGGUCGGUUUAUGUGCAACAGCUGUCUCUGUGGGAGCAAAUCCCAUAGGAGCUGCCUGCUCCUGAGCUCGCUUAACAGCUUCGGAGGUUAUACUACUACAAGUUUCCACCGCGAUAGAAACAGAACUCUCAGUGACUUGUGCGGCCACAUCUUCAAACCUGGUCAUCCUCCUCCUCUCAGUACCACAAACACUUGAUAUCCUGUGCGAGACGGUUUAGGGGAAUCAGGAAACGAACGGGAACAACACACAAAGUUAUUAAUUAUUAUAAUAUAGGUUUUAGGACUCUAGCUUAAGAAAAUAACGCUUUGAACUUCUCAAAACCUUAUUGGAUAUCUCUAUUUAUAUGAAAACAUCAUUCACAAUUCUGUUAAAAAACACUUAUGUUUAGAUAACGCAUAAAUAUAUUCAAUCUUUUAUCUCUUUGAUAAUUAUGAUUCGGUUAGGAUUAGCAUAGUUUCCAACUCAAGCUAUCUUCGAGCUUUAUGUCCAUAUUCUUUAUAUACCACAUCAAUAGUUUAUCCUAGGUCAACCAGGAAUUGGAGUUUUUUACGCAGGAGAAUAUAUCAAAAUCUCAUAAACAUUUUAUUUAAGGGAGAUUUGCACAACAAACCUUUUUAUGAUACCAUUUUCUACAAGUACCCUCUCUAUGUGUCCAUUUUCAAAAAUACCCUCUUCAAUAUACAAAAUGACUAAAUUACCCUCCUUUAUUAUUACCCAUGAUGAAGAAAAGAAUAUUCUUUCCAACAAAAAGAAUAUUCCUUCCGAAAAAUUUCCCGCCAAAUUUUCCCGCCAAAAAUUUUCGGCAAAAAUUUUCCCGCCAAAAAAUUCCGACAAAAAAAUUUUCCCGCCAAAAAAAUUUUCCGACAAAAAUUUUUCCGCAAUUCCUUAAAAAAACCUUGUAAAUAUUUAUAAAUCCUUAAAAAAAUCCUUUAAAAACCCUUGUAAAUCUUUUAAAAGUCAUCCAAAACCUUUCAAAAUUUGAGUAAAUCUUUUAAAACCAUUGUAAAUCAUUUUAUAACAUUUAUAAACACUUGUAAAUCCCUUUAACCCCCUUAUAACCGUGAUAAAUCAGUUAAUAAAAACUUUUGUAAACUUCUAAAACCCUUUAAAAACCCUUGUAAAUCCUUAAAAACCAUUUUAAAGAACUUGUAAUACCUUUAAAAACUUUUGUAAACCCUUCAAAAACUUUUGUAAACUUCUAAAACCCUUUAAAACUUCUUAUAAAUCCUUUAAAACUAUUUUUAAAUCUUUGUGUGCCUUUAAAUACACUUUUAAAUCUUUUUAAAAACACUUGUAAAUCCUUUUAAAAAACUUUUAAAAAUCCUUGUAAAUUUUUAAAAUCCUUGUAAAUCCUUUUAAAACUGUUAUAAACUUAUAAAAACUUUUAAAAACCAUUGUAAAUCAUUUAAAAACCAUUUAAAAACCUUUGUAGGCUUCUAAAACCCUUUAAAAACCAUUUCAAAUCUUUUAAAAACCAUUUAAAAGCUCUUGUAAAUCCCUUUAAAAACCCUUGUAAACCCUUUAAAAGACCCUUUAAAAAAUCUUGUAAACCCUUUAAAACAAUUUGGCGGGAAAAUUUGAAAAAAUAUUUUUUUUUGCGGGAAAUUUUUUGCGGAAUUUUUUAUGGCGGGAAAAUUUUCUCGGGAAAUUUUUUUGGCGGGAAAAUUUUAUCGGAAAUUUUUUUGGCGGGAAAUUUUUUCUCGGAAAAUUUUUUGGCGGGAAAAUUUUGGCGGGAAAUUUUUGGGGGGAAAAUUUUUGGAUGGAAUAUUCCUUCCUUUGGGAAAGAAUAUUCUUUCAAAUAUGGGUAAAAUGACAAUUAAAAUAUAAGAGAGGUCAAAAAUGAAAAUGUUAAAAAAGAGGGUAUUUUUAAAAGAGGGUAUCAUAAAAAGGUUAUUGGUAUCAAUUUCUCUUUAUUUAAUUAUACGAGAAUCAAUAAUUAUUGACCCCUUAAAAUCAAGACACUUUUCGAGAAUCACUCCGACAAAGGUCUAUGAGUUAUGAUUACCUGAUCUCCUCUUUAGGUUCCUAUUCCUAAUAAGGCAAGUGUUUCAUAACAAACGGUUUAUCAAAUAUACAUGCUAAAUAAACGUUUUGAUAUAUUACAUAAAUAAAAAUUUGGUAAUUAUCUAAAAAUUGAUAUAUAUAUAUAUAUAUAUAUAUGGUUAUAUUAAUAAUAAUUUAAUUAUAUUUAUGCUUCUUCUGUUUAUUUCGCUUAUGCUUUCUUUUUUAAAAAUUUUUACUUAAUUAUAAUUUAAAAGCUUUUCUAAACAGUACAAAAGUCAUAUGUCUGAAGUGAAAUAUUUUUAUUUGAUAUUUUUGUAAAAUUUAACUUGAUUUUUAAUUCAAAUUACUUUUACCUAAUGAUAAAAAGUAGUUUGAGUUACCAAUAUUCAUAAUUAAGGUGAGUUUUAUUUAUUUUUAAUGUUUACAAUAUACAAAAAAAAAUUUGCAUUAAUUUUACAAUUGCUUACUAUAUUGUGUAUGUGCUAAUUUUGUAUUUUUAUUUGAUCAUAUUCAGUUCCAUAUUUUUCAAAUACAUUUUUUAUUUACUUUUAAUGUUUAUAAUGUACACAAGAUUUGUUUCGAAAUAAUUUUGCCAUUGCAUAUGAUUUUUGUGCACUAAUUUUGUAUUAUUUUGUUAUAAAAACAAAUAUCAUACAUUAUUUUUAAAUGAUUUGUUUGUGCGCUAAAUUUUAAAUUGUUUUCAAAACAUACAUUAACAAAAAAAUAAAACUAGAUAUAAAUUAAUGUAAUUUUUAAUCUAUAUAUGAAAUUACUACUUCAUACAUAACUCUUGCAUUGCGUAAACAACUUUCUAGUUUUCUAUAUAUAUAUAUUCCACAUCUAACUGUGUAUCUUAAGUGAAUUUAAUUAGAUUGUUUAAGCAAUAAUUAUUUUUAAAUAAUGUGUUCAUCCCACAAAGGCACAAAUUAUGUAUCCAAAAAUAACAAAUAGCUUCUAUAAAAAUGUGUUCAAGUAAUCAUGUGCAUUAUUUUCCUCUUUAUCUUUCCUCUUACUCAUCGGUUCCUUGUCCUUACCUCCUUGGUGAGACCUCUCAUGAUGCUUAUUAGUCCUAUCUCUCUCAUGUCGUCGAGGUUCACGAUCGUCCUAGAUGCUCAUGCUCUCCUUAAUCUUAUUCAUGACGAGACGGUUUAGGGAAAUUGUGAAACGCACAUGAAAGUAACUAUAUUAUUAUUUAUAUCAUCUGUAUAUCCUAACUCCACCAGGAGUUGGAAAUCGUAAGUUAUUCUAAUUUUUCUUUUAUGUUUGUAAGACUUAGGCCGUGGAAUGAGAUUUUAAACUCGAUUUUAGCUUUUAUUUUUUGGAUUUUAGUUUUUUCGUUUUUGUUAUAAAAAAAAGUAAAAAAUGAAUAAAAUAUAAAAAUUGAAAAUGAAAGAAAAUACACUCAUGUUGAAAGAAACCAUCAAAAGGGGUUUUUGAUUUUUAUUUGAAAAUGAGUAAAAUCUCAUAAAAAGUAAAUUUUCUAUUAUUUUUUUAUAGGAAAACCAAUUUUAUAGAAUCUUGAAUGACAACAAAUUAGAUUUUUAGAAAAGCUAAAACCAAAAUCUACCUAAAAACUAGUAACCAUUCAAGGCCACAUCACAUAUUAUACGGUGCAGAUGAACUAUUCACCGAUUCAAUAUUGCAGCCCAUGUCCGGUAUAUAGACACUAUAUAGUGGACUUAUAAUUAGAUUCGUUUAAGCAAAAAAUAGUUUUCAAAAUCUGUUCAUCCCACAUUUUAUGGAUCCAAAAAUAACAAAUUGAAUUUGAAGGCUUUUGAUAGUGGAAACUUUCUAGUGUUUGUAGGCUCGCAAGUCUAUGAACUUGUGGGUUACUUGCUUCUUACUUACAUAGCUUAUGGUAAAUGAUGCUUUGCUUCGAUGGAACUUUUUGCAGAUUUCAGGGCCAGUAGAGGUUCUAAACAGUCACCCAAAACGGGAUGAAGAAACUUCAAUUACAGAUACUAGCGUAUUAGUCGCAAAAAGUCGAAAGUUGAACAUAUCAUAUGUAGUAAUCUUAGGUACACGCAAAAAGUUUGUCUAAAUCAAUGCUUACCAAACCAAAACCAAAAUAACCGAGGAAAAGCCAAGAACACAAAGCUAAUCUUGAAUAUACUCCAGCUUUUGAUUGCUCGAAUUAGUAAACUAUUUUUCUGGUCGUCUGCGAUAUUAUUAGGCUACACGGCCUGUUUAGAUUCUAACCCUUUUAACAUAAUUUUUAUACCCGUUUGGGCCUGAAGCCCGUUUAGGCCUCAACAAGCACAGUGUGAUAAUCAAACACAAGUCAUGUAAAUAGUUGAUACUAAAAUAAUUUUAACAGAAGAAAAGAGGAUAUGGUUCAAUAAUUAGCCAGAAAGUUAGAAACAAGAAGCACAAAACACAUCAGCAAAACAAGACUAGUUGAAUCUCUUUCUUCUCCAACGAAUCCGCUUUGUGUCUUGCUUCAGAAACCCAGGAAGCCUGACAAAACUCGGAACGAAGCUGCAUUGAAAAGAAAAAGCAGUUCCCGCGAUAUGUUCUUCUUCAAUUUUCUCAAACUUGUUCUCGCCGAUGACUCUGUAAAUGUUAACAGCAUCAACGAAUCCAUUGAAUUCAACAGAAGUUGCGACGAGCCUACAGUUUUUGUCAACAAAAAAAGAUGUUGAAAUACGACUUGAAGGUGGAUGUAAUAGAGGAGAAUGCGGUAUAGCCACGACCAUCAAUCUGCUCCAAGGACGUAAGAGCCAAUACUUAACCCAUAUGCAAAUGGUCCUUGUUUCAUGACAUUGCUCUAACACGGAAAGCCGGUCUCCUUUAUAAGUCGCGAGUGCAAUAGGAUUCCGUUCAUCGUACCUGAAGGGUAGCUGAUCUAUCGGUUGGAAUAUUUCUUUGGAAAAAUCAAAGCUUUGCAGGAAAGCUGUGUGAUCUUCACGAAGAGCAAUACAAUAAGGAGUUCCUCUCAAAGAGAGUAUCGCCAGUGGUAUUCUAAGGAACCAAUCAAAAGGACUGAUCAUAUCUACACACUUCCAUGUCUUAGAUGAGAGUUGGCAGACCUCAACUCUUGGAGGUCUGUUUCUUGAAUUACUAGCACAUCGAAACCGUAAGAUCCUGUAAUCACAAGGGCUGAGGUAUCCAAGGCUGUACGCAUCAUCAUAUGCGUGAAAGUCGCUGCCGCAUUUGACCCAACACAUUUCUUUCAGUAACGGGUUCCAAACCAAAAGCUUGUUGUCCAUGACACACAACAACAGACCGUUGCAGUGCACAACCUUGUACACCUUAAUGAUUCGCGUUGGAUGAACUCUUCCAAGGCUAAGGUUUUCGGAAGGAGUAAGUACCUGCUCCUCAGUGCUCACGGAAGAAAGACAUCCAUCGUGGGAGAUGAUAAACCGAUGAUCACGGCUAUCGCCGAUGUGCGUACGGGACAAGUUCUUCAGAAUGAGACUCUGGUCCAAGAUCAUACUAUUCCAAAGCUUGCAUACAGAUCUCCACUUCGCAAGAAUUCUAAAUGUAACUCUGGAGAUGAUUUCCUCUUCCAACUCAGAUGGAAGCCUCAAAGUCAUCGUCGUGCGUGACCUAGUUGUCGAGAGAGAGAGAGAUAAUUUAUAUAUAAAUAAAUAGAAAUUGGAGCACCAUGGUAAAAUUGAAACUUUUAGAUAUGGUAAAAUCAUUAAUGGAAUCUUGACUAAAAAAAAUUAAUAAUACUAGUGAUAGUUUCCUCUUCUAUAUAGUUUCCAAAAAAGUAAUAACAGACUGAUUUUGAGUGGUUCAACCGUUCAAGUUAGAUUUCGGAUAUAAAAUAAAAUAAAAAGAUUUCCGAAGUUUUUAUGAAAAGUCUAGAACCCUUAAAUUACUUCUCUUACGUAAAUUAAAAGAGAAAAUAUAGUUAUAGAUAGCUUUUCUUUCACAAUCUAUAAAUAUAUUAAGACCUUUAAUCUAUAGGAAAUAAUUAUUUCAAAAGAAGAAUGGUAUACUAAGCUCCAAAAAAAAAAAUCUGAAAGCUAAAAUACGAUUUUAAAUUUUAGCCAAAACCAAAAACCCAGAAACGAAAGUUCAAAGACUUAAAAAUAAUAAACUAGAAGCUACAAAAGUUAUAAUAAAAAACUAAAAGAAACGAAAAAGUAAAAAAAAAAACACAAUAAACCAAAAGUGCUACAAAAUCAUAAGAAAACUGUAACAAUUAGAAAAGACAUAAUGAAAAAGCAAAAUAAAAGUUUAGGAACAACCUCGUCGAAAUAGGAUGCACACAAGUCACAACUGAUCUCUCCUUCCCCACUGGCUUCAAUCGAUCUUUUUAGUUUUUAAUUUAAGAUAAAUAGGGUUUUCAGAGAGAUUUUAUACGAAACAAAUACCCAUUGGGCCCGUAACACCCAGCCCAUCUAAAACUUUGCUUAUUUCCGUUAUCUACGAGAAAGAGAAGAGAACUACUAAUAAAUAAAUAAAAAACACACAAACAAAUGUAGAUGUGUUAAACGGGCCGCUCUGCGUCUAUAUACUGUAGACUGUCUGCAACGGGUGCAAAAAAACGAUGUCUUCUGUCUCACUAAACCCGCCUUUAGCAAGCUGAAUAGCUGAUUCGUAAACCUAAAUAACAUUAUAUAUUCUAAAAUAAAUUAAUAAUUGAUAAUUUUAUAAAUUAAUAUUAGUGUUUAAUUUGAACCAAUUCACCGACUCAAUAAUGCAGCCCAUGUCCGGUGACCGGUAUACAUACACUAUAUAGUGGACUUAUAAUUAGAUUCUUUUAAGCAAAAAUUAUUUUUUUAAAAUCUGUUCAUCCACACAUUUCAUGGAUCCAAAAAAUACAUGUAGAAUUUGAAUCUUCUAUAAGAGGGAUAUAUUCAAAAUUUAAUUCUAAGAGAUAUGAGUUUUAUUAAGUUUUUAAAUGAUUUUGAUGAUUUUAGGGAAGUUCAUAUGACUUUUGUAAAAUCCUUUCAAAUCUCACUACAAACCAUGAGAUUUGGAUUUAUGUAUUUUUAACUAAAGGAAAUUCUCUAAAAUACUAUGAAAUCCUUCAAAAUCAUUAAAAAUCAAAUCCACAAAUUUUUUUUUGUGUAACAGUGGAUUUUAAGGUGGAUUUUGAAAUCAUUAGUUCAAUAACAGUGAAUUUAAUGAAACUUUUUAAAAUCUAUGUUUGAAUAAUACUAGAUUUAUAAGUUUUACACAAAUCUAUAAAAAUUCUACUUUGAAUACACUCCCUAAACGUGUUCAAUGAAUCAUGUGCACAAUUAAGGGUCGGUUAUCUUGAGUAAUCCUCUUACCUUGUUAACUGGCAUAAGCUUUUUCUUAAGAAAUAUAAUAAUUUGUGCUAAAUAUCACCCAUUUAUAGUUGGAGAUAUUUUGAGAAGUAGGUCAACUGAAUGCGUCAAUAAGAUUGCUUACUUACACCUCAAGCUUGUGAAUUUACAAAAAGAAAGUCGUAAAAUCGAAUGGAAUCUGAUUACGACAAGGCACCUACAUACUUUUUACAUAAACAAAACACAUCUAUUAUAUAAAAUUAGCUUUCUAACCAAUAACAAACAGCCACGUAUGAUUCCCCUUGUUCGAUCUGCUCC